CCACACUUCGAUUACCGAUUUACCUCCACAAACUGGUGCGUUUAAGCUCGGAGGGAUGACCUUUCAGCCUUGAGAUCUCCUUUCAACUUCGAUUUCAACGAAGCAAGAAGCAACUUAUGGCAUAUUCGCAAGAUAAGGCCCCUCUUUCUCUUUUUCUUUUAUUUUUUAAACGCAAUGAUGAAUGAUUUGAAAGAAUAAAUCGCCAGGAAAUGUAAAAAUAAAUAAAUAAAUAAAUAAAUUCAAACAGAAAUAACCUUUGAAAAAUUUUGACUGCUUUCUUUGUAUUCAGUAUUCGUUCGUAAUCUUUUUGCACUAAUUUUCUUGGCCUUUUAUAAAUGAUUUACAGAAUAAAUAAAUAAAGAAAAUAAAGAAAAACUCUAAUUGUUGCUGUCAUCUGCUGGCUUAUUUCUGUUAUCAUUUCUGUUCUUGCAGGUUCUAAUACUGACGUGGAGGAGUACGGAGAAGAAAGCUACUCGUGGGGAGGCCGUCUGUGGGUGGCUCGAUUCCAUGGCUAACUGCAGUGCUAGCAUGUUCCAGAAACCCUAGGGGUUUCUGGUACUCUUGGAUUAGUGGGCCCCUUUAGGUUUGGGCUAGAAUUGGGCCAAAUUAGGUUUAUCUUAGAUGGGAUAAAUUUGGAUUUAUUUUAAUGUUUGGGUUUAGUUGGAUUUAGGCCCGAAAAUUUGUAAAUAGACACUGGACCUAUAAAUGAUUUGGUUUAUUAUUUAUUUCUGUUUGAUUUUAUUAUUUUUUUUGUUUUUGGUUUUUUUAGGUUUUUUAUGGGCCCAGGCAAAUUGGGCCUAUUACAACAUUUAAUUUGGUUUUAUUUUAGUUAUAAAUUAUUUAUUUACCUAAUUACAAUUAUAUCUCUUUUAAUUUACAUUCAAGUCUUUAACAUUUUCAAGUCUAAAACCGUCCACUACUAUACAAAUGGUAUAAUUACUAUUUAAAUAGGGUUUAAUUGCACAAUUAAUCCUUUAAUUAUUUUAAAUUUGAACUAAACAAUCUUAAUUUCAAUUUAAUCCUAAACUAAUUAGGACUAAAUGAGAAAAUAUCCUAAAGUUGAUGGAUUUAAUCAUAUCCACCACCACUUGGACUUUUUGACCAUGGUUAAUUACCAUUUUGGUCCUUUUAGCAUUUCAAAUCUAUAACGAUUAAAUUUUACCUCUUUUACAAUUUAAUCCUUUUACAUUAAUUAAGCAAUCAAUCAUCAAAAUUUUUGAACCAAACUUCAUUUCACCUAUAAUACAAUCUUGUAAAUAUUUAAUAAAAAUAUUUACGACCCUAAAUUUCAGAAACGAGGUCCUAAUACCUCAUUUUCAAUAACCACUUGACUUUUGAACCGAACCACUUAUACUAACUUUUAGUUUAAUUGGUUAAGUUCAUCAAAUUAAAAUUUAAUACAAAAAUUAUUAUUGCCUCAUAUAAUUUAAAUACUAAUUGUACAAACUUACUCGUCAGAUUUGUGGUCCUAAGACCACUGUUUUCGACACCAAUGAAAAUCAGGCUGUUACACAUAUAUCAAUCAUCAUUAGAACAUGCCAAACAUACUUUAAAUAAACUUAUAGUAAUAAUUGAACAUGCAUUAGGCUCACUUAGCAAACCUCAAACCUGACUAUGUAGGUAUCGAUACUAGAACAUGAGUAUUGAUAUUUUUUAAAAUUGGUAUCGAUACCACUUGAAAAAUCGAUACCAAACUUGCAUUUUGUUUCUCAUCUAAAAUAAAAACACAAGAAAAUAUCGGUACAACUGAAAAAGUAUCAAUAAAUUUACCCUGAGUAUCGAUACUCGUGAUAGGGUAUCUAUACCAGUUUACGAUUUCGACUUCCUGCACAUUUCAAAAUCAUAGAGGUAUCAUUUUUACAACACGAAUAUCGAUAUCUCUGCUUUAGACCAAAAAAAUACAACACUUUUAAGCAUAUAAGUCAUUCCAACUUGUACCAAUUCAUCUUGAUAUCAAAUCAUCAUCAAAUAAACAUCAAAAUGGUCAUAGUAAUAGUCUCAAACAUCAAAAGUAAGUUCGAACAAUAAUCAACAUAAUGCGAAAUGAAUCUCAUAAAAUUAGGAACAAAUAGUUUAUGGAAGCAUCCAAAACAUAAUGGUAAAUUGAUAGUUAUUUACUAUAACAUCAUAAAAUUAGGACACUGUCGUUCUAAUUUCUUAUACAUUUUUUGUAUUAUAUUUUUUUAUAAACGAUAACUCAUUUAUAGGCGGUCAGUUUAUAAAAUAAAAAGAAAAGACAUCAAAUUACUCGAAUCCAAGCUCAUUAAGUGUUGAAAAGAGCUUAAUUUUCCACAAAGAAUCGUGACAGAUCAAUUACCAAAUUGAUAGUUAUUUGGCCACAAAUUAUCAAAAUUCUACCUUGGGAUCGCAUCAUCUCUAUUUUCUUUGUUGUCAUGUGCAUCUAGACUUGAUUCACUUACUUGUUUUAGUCCUAGAUUACCCACCUCUAAGUUUUCCCCUUAAAAAUUUAGUUUGUAACCAAGAAACAAACAUGUUUACACAUUUAAUUCACUUUCAAUUACAAGUUCCUCAAAUAAUAGAUAAGCGCUAUAUAACUCUCGAUACCAAACAUAUACAAGCCUCUUCGAAAAUAUUAGAGUUUGAAACUUAGUAUUAUAUUAGAUCAAUUACAAUCAGUUCUCAUAAAAAAAUAUUGCUAAACUAACAUACACAAUAUAUUAAUAAAGUCCAAAAUAAUGUAAGAACUUUGGAGAUAAGUUUUCAAUGCAAUCUCGAUUCAAUCUCUUUAUUUCAAGAGAUUUGAUUACUUAAUCUAAUUCGAUCUAACCUUCAAAAUAUGUUGUAUCAAAUGGAUCAUUAUUCAUAAAUGAAGUAUCAUACGUCCACAAUCAACAAGAUUCACAACUCAUGAAUUUUGAUGCAACACCAAAAAUGGUAAUUGAUACUUUCCUGUCGCAGGGAUACCCGCAAUGAACAUAGCACGAGGCAUUGCGCUAACCAACAGCUCAACAAAAUUAUUAUAUAACAGUAUAAAGAAUAAAUUUGCAAAAUGCAAAUCUGAUCAGUUUUAUAGAAUUUAAUCUUCAAAUUCCAUUUUGGAUACUUAAUUAUGUAAAAAAAAAUAGAGGCAGGAUUAAUUUUGCUACAUUAUUAAGUUUGAGCUUUGAGAACUUGAAUUACGUCAUUUAUUUCUAAAAGACGCUAUACCAAAUUACAAUUUGAAUCACAAUAUUUUCUUUUAUUCAGGAAAUAGACCUAACAAUUUAUGUGUCUAAUUUAUGUUAUUUUUCACUGCCGUAAUCAAGCGUGUUACAUUCGAUAUUUUACUGCUUUUUGACAAAUUUGUGUAUUAUCGUUUUCAAUUUUUUCGGGGUCCCAUUAUAGUUAUUUCCUCAUGUAAUGUCUUCAAAAUUACCAGACCUGAUCCUAAUCUGCCAUUGUUCAAAAACUUUUAAAAUCUCAGCAGCCUGUUAUUUUUAUUAAUUUUUUAAAUAAUCUAGCCUGUUGUCAGUAUAAAAUGAGAAAUUAAGAAGAAAUUCUCGAAAUGCUUAACAAGCUUCGAUGAAGGCAAUAUGAAUAAUAUGAUAUAACAUAGUAUAAUAUAUCCUGAGACUAGCGAACUAUAAAUAGAAAUUAAUACUGUUCAAAGUAGCAUUUCUUUGCCAUAUUUAUCUGAGAACGAAACGGGAAAAAGAUAGGCAAAGGAGUCGUUUUUUCCAUGGCAUAAACAUCAUUAAAGUGUUUUAAUCUCCUUAAACAACCCCCUUUACCUAGCCGGUUGAUCAGGUUCCCAUGUCUUUUUUUACAUUAACAGUUUUUGCAGCAUUACUAAAUUGCCUAUAUCUACAGCAACUCAACUAUUCUUUUCACUUACCGUUUAAAACAAGUAGAGAUUUGUAUUUGCAGUUCGAUUCCGUUGGCCAAGAAAGAUUUAAAAUCCUCAUGCAUCUAAACCUAGUAAGUGAAAGAACUAAGUAGAGGCGUAGGCCUUUGAGUUUCAUUCAUAGUUGUCUUUGCUCUUUGUUAGAGGAAUUGUUAUUUGUAUGGUUCAAAAAUGGCUACCAACGCUGCCCCAAUUGCCCCUGUGUGCUCGGCACCGAUGAAGGCAACGUCCAAUGGAGCUUUUCAGAAAGAAAACCCACUCGAUUUUGCUCUCCCAUUGCUCAUUGUUCAGAUAAUUUUGGUGGUCAGUUUUACCAGACUCCUUGCUUUCCUUCUUCGACCUUUAAGGCAACCUAGAGUCAUUGCAGAGAUCAUCGUAAGUCAUUUUUACCUUACUUUUGCUUGUUAUUAUAUCGAAAAAACCCGCUCAAUAAUUAAGUAAUUUAUACGUGAGCUCAAAUAUGAAUGAGAUGGGCAAAAAGGGUAUCAAUACCAUGUUAAAUUGUUUGAUUAGUUGAUUACCUGUCCUGAAAAGUAUAAAACUAACAACUUAUUAUCCAACUUCUAUAUAUUUAAGUUCCCAAGAAGUUUUCUAUAACUAAACAAAUUGAGCUUACGUGCUAUUUAUAUUGAGGAAACGUUCGUUAUCUAAGUAAUGAGUAUGUAUCCAGGGAGGAAUUUUGCUUGGUCCUUCAGCCUUGGGAAGACACCAGAAGUUUUUGGACAUAAUUUUCCCCAAGAAAAGCAUGACGGUGUUGGACACCUUAGCCAACAUUGGGCUGCUUUACUUCUUGUUUUUGGUGGGACUCGAACUCGACAUUCGAGCAAUUCGUCGCACAGGCACCAAUUCCUUAAUAAUAGCCGUUGCAGGGAUCAGUCUUCCAUUUAUUUUAGGCAUUGGUGCAUCGGUUGUUCUUCGUUCCACCGUGAACAAAGGAGUUAGCAACAUAGUUUUCCUUGUUUUCAUGGGGGUUGCUCUCUCUAUAACGGCCUUUCCGGUCCUCGCUCGUAUUCUUGCCGAACUCAAGCUUCUAACAACUGAUGUGGGGCGGAUUGCAAUGUCCGCAGCAGCUGUCAAUGACGUCGUUGCCUGGAUACUUCUUGCACUCGCUAUUGCACUCUCGGGAUCCGAUAGCUCUUAUCUUGUCUCCGUAUGGGUGCUGCUUUGUGGAACAGCUUUCAUUGUGUUUUCCAUUUUUGUAUUGAAACCGAUACUUUCAGUGAUGGCUAGGCGAUCCCCCGAGGGCGAGCCAGUGAAGGAGCUGUACAUUUGUAUUACACUAUCAAUAGUACUGGCUGCAGGUUUAAUCACGGAUAUAAUAGGCAUUCAUGCACUCUUUGGGGCUUUUGUGGUCGGCAUAAUAAUACCGAAAGACGGUCCUUUUGCUGGCGUGUUGAUAGAAAAGAUCGAAGAUCUAGUUUCGGGGCUUUUCUUGCCUCUUUACUUUGCAUCUAGUGGGUUGAAAACCAAUGUUGCAACUAUAGAAGGUGCCCAAUCAUGGGGUUUGCUAGUGCUUGUUAUAUUCACUGCUUGUUUCGGGAAGAUUGUUGGCACGGUUGUUUUAGCAAUGCUGUUCAAGGUACCUUUCAUCGAAGCUUUGGCACUUGGAGUCCUCAUGAACACUAAAGGCCUGGUGGAACUCAUUGUUCUCAAUAUCGGCAAGGACCGCAAGGUAAUAUAUAUAUUCGAAAUUAGUGUCUUGAAAAUGUCCGCAACAUAGGUAUUAAAUUAUCUCGAAUGCAGCUAAAGGUGCGCAUUGUUCGAUCGCAGGUGCUAAACGACCAAACUUUCGCUAUCUUAGUUCUAAUGGCAUUAUUUACAACCUUCAUCACAACACCGAUUGUGAUGGCGGUAUACAAGCCUGCUAGAAAGGGAAAGCCCUACAAAAAUCGAAGGAUUCAGCGACAAGACCUUGAUAGCGAACUUCGAGUCCUGGCAUGUUUCCAUAGUACUCGUAACAUCCCAACGCUGAUCAAUCUGAUUGAAUCCUCUCGAGGGACGAGGAAGAAGGGACAACUCUGCAUAUACGCUAUGCAUCUUAUGGAACUCUCUGAACGAUCAUCGGCCAUUUCAAUGAUCCACAAGGCGCGCAAAAAUGGACUACCCUUUUGGAACAAGAAACCUGGGGAUCAAAAUCAUAUGGUGAUUGCAUUCGAGGCCUAUCAGCAGCUAAGAAGCGUCGUUAUCCGCCCGAUGACUGCAAUCUCACCAUUGAAUAGCAUACAUGAGGAUAUUUGCACCAGUGCGGACCGAAAACGAGCUGCCUUGAUUAUCAUACCAUUCCAUAAGCACCAAAGAGUAGAUGGAACAAUGGAAUCUUUAGGACACUCAUUCCAUCUAGUCAACCAACGCGUCCUCCGACAUGCCCCUUGCUCGGUCGGAAUCCUUGUAGACCGUGGCCUGGGUGGCACCACCCAAGUCGUCGCCAGUGAAGUGUCAUACUCAGUGGUGGUUCCUUUCUUCGGCGGCCAAGAUGAUCGUGAAGCACUUGCAUAUGGAAUGAGGAUGGCUGAGCAUCCUGGAAUCAAGCUCACCCUUAUUAAAUUUACACCCAAACCUGAAACGGCACUUAACCAUCCCAAGGCUGAUGUGGGAGCUGAAUCCAAGAAAGACAACGACAUUUUCUCGGAGUUCCUUAAUUUAAGCAAAAGCAGUGAGUCUGUAAAACAUGAAGCGAUAGCAAUGGGAAGCAGAGAAGACGUAAUCGCAGCUUUGAGAUCAAUGAGCAACUCUACACUGUUUUUGGUAGGAAGAACGUCUCCGGCAAUGCCUUUGUCGGACAGGAGUUCGGAUUGUCCUGAACUAGGUCAUGUCGGGAGCUAUUUAGCCUCAUCGGAUUUCUCCACUACUUCAUCCAUUUUGGUUAUCCAACAAUAUGACCCUUCCAUAAACGCCAUGGAAAAGCCUCUCGAUGACAUCAAUGAGGCUUCAAAUAAAACAGUGUCAAAUGGUGUAUGAGAGAUUCAAGCUCCAAUUCCUUUGAUAGAUUCCUUCCUCGAUGGUGAAAAAUAAAUCUUAGGGAGAGAGAAAAGGUCAACUAUACGUUCAGUUACAUUGGCUCUUCAAUAAUGGUUGUUAUGAUUGUAUCCGGCAGGCUACGAUUAUGUGUCCCACAUUUUAUUAGGAAUACUUUGUCAUAAAACUGCACUCGAUCAUUGCGAUUAUUGUGGUUGUAAAAUGAAUAGUAAAAGGACAAAAGAUAAAACAAUAAUUUAUCGACAUUAUUUUGGUACAUCAAAUAAAUUUUUUUUUUAACAUUUGUUUAUGAUAUUGCAUUACUUGUUUGGCAUUACAAAUCUUGUGGUAAGGUUGUUUUGUAUGAAAAAUUGGUAGAAAUUGUAAAAAAUUAUAGUUAUUAAAGGUAAGACGAGUAGUAGAAAUUGUCUUAAUAAUAGUUCUCUCUCUAUUGUUUAGGAUAAUCAGGUAACAUUAUUUCUAAGAUAUGAUGUCUUUAUCUUGAGUUAGAACAAUGUGGUUGUGUCACGGGCCGCAGAUCAUAGUCUACCACCGUUGCACACAAAACGUCCAAUAGAUGUCAACUUCUUCAAUGGAUCACAUUUAACCUAAAUAAACUGGCUGGACACGUGGAACAUAUAAAGAAGUCCAUCUACUUGAAGCAUUGAUGGCCCAAUGAAACACUUCAGUAAAACUAGAAUUACCAGGGUAAAUAGUAUAAAUCUGAACAGGAUAAGAUUGUGUAAAGUUUAAAUCUCUUAGAACUCUUAAUUAUGGAUAGACUCUAAUCUCGAUCACUGAUGUAACUCAAUCUGUACUGUUAGUUUUAGGGGUGCUCAACUAUGAAUAAAGGUCGUCUUCCUCAUUUGUAUUCACUUAGUUGUAAUCCUUCAAAGUAAAUGAAUACUAUUGAGAGCAUUUACUCAAACACUUGGUAAGAGCUAUUUUUCUGUAGCUUUUUGUUCGUUCAUAGCUUCUUUUUCCUUUCGAGUUCGCUUCUGCUUUGCUUUAGUGCCUUAGAGAAUUUUUUUCAAGAAUUAACAUUUUCCAAGAGUAGACCGACUUAGUCUAGAUUUGAGCACAAGAAAUUGCCUAAGGUUGCACGGUUUGUCAGACUAAAUAUCUAUCUCCAUGACAGUUGGUAUUAAAGCUAGUCUUUGAAGGCAUUGAUUGAGAUGGCGAAAGGAAGAGACAAGUAGAAUGUCCCAGUGGAGACCUGUGGGAGGUCUAGGAAAAUAGCAUAUUAUGGAUAUGUUGUCGGCUUUGGUAGUUAGGUGACCAAUCUCAAGGAAACCAUGGGAAGUACGAAGGAAAUUGUAACACCCCGAAUUUGGGCCUAGAAGUAUUGGGCCUUGAGUGGGGGUCCGUAAGGAGGUUGUAUAUAGGUAUUUAAUUGUGCAAUGAAAUGAAGCAAUUAAAUGUUUGCUUUAGUGGUUAAUGGCUUUGAGAAGCGUUGGAGAAAUCUUGGGUUUAAACUUGGGCUUUAGCAAAAAUUUUGGUAUUAAGUGAAAAAAAACUUGGUUGCUUGGAUGAGGGCCUUUUAAAUUAUUGUGGUAAAUAAAUGACACAAGAAAGCAUGUAGUCUAGUGGUUGUGGUGUCAUUAAGGUUGUAUAGGAGCCUGGAUUCAAGCCUUGGCUCUUGCAAUUUAUUUUGGUUUUUUUAAGGGAACCUGGACUUUGGCCUUUAGACCUUAUAAUUAAUUGGGGAUAAAAUAUGACACAAAAAGCCUUGUGGUUUAGUGGCAAGUAGCAUGUGGAACAUCUGAGGGGAGGCAUGGGUUCGAAUCCCAUGGCAAGCAAGGAGCAUUUAUUUUGCUAACAGGAGGCGGCAAGAGUUGGUGUUGAAUUUAAACUCUGAUGUUGGAAGGAUCCCACAUCGGGAAGCUAACAUAAGAGUGGUUGCGAAGCUGGCUUUAAAUAGAGGGAACCAUGAGGAGAGUAAAUGUACCUUUUCUUGGCUGAUCCCUUUCGCUGUAUGGCGUGCUCGUUUGGGUUAGGUGUCAGCUAAGAGUGCUCAGAGCUUGGAUUAACUCCAGUCGCCAAUCAGGUGUGUAUUUCUCGCUACUCUAGCUGUAGGAUAGCUACUUCGAGCCGCGAUGGGCCGAAAGGGGCCAUGUGGGCCCAAUGGGCCUAUGGUCCCAAUUGGAUAAGUUGUUUGAUUUUGUAGUAAAUAUUAGACUAGGCUAGGUGAAUCUCAUAUCUGUGGCUAGAUUUGGGCUAAAAGGGUCACACGAGCGUGUGGGCCCAUUUGGGCCGAGAAUAGGCUUUAGGCCCAUUCGUAUUGUUAUCCCUGUUUAGAAUAAUUUAGUUUACCAAAUUACUGAAAUGCCCUUAAAUUGUAAAAUUACCAAAGUACCCUCGAUUUAUAAAAUUAUCGUUUUACCCUCGAUUUAUAGAAUUAUCGUUUUACCCUCGAUUUAUAGAAUUACUGUUUUACCCUUGAUUUACAGAAUUAUUGUUUUACCCUCGAUUUACAAAAUUACUAAAAUACCCUUGGUUUACAAAAUUACCAAAAUACCCUCGAUUAGUAAAAUUACCAAAAUACCCUAGUCUGUAAAAUUGCUAAAAUACCCCUGGUUUGUAAAAUUACAGAAAUACCCUCAAUUUGUAAAAUUACCAAAAUACCCUUAGUUUGUAAAAUUACCAAAAUACCACUAGUUUGUGAAAUUACCGAAAUACCCUCAAUUUGUAAAAUUACCAAAAUACCCCUGAUUUACAAAGUUAUAGAAAUACCCUUGACUUUCUAAAAAUUAUGGAAAUACCAUUGGUUUACAAAAUUACUGAAAUACCCUUGGUUUGUAGAUUUACAAAAACACCCUUGUAGGAUGAAAUGACUAAAAUACCCCUAUUAGGUAAAAAGACCGUAAAGCCCCUAUAGGGUAAAGAGACGUAAAGCCCCUAUAGGGUAAAGUGACCGUAAUGCCCCUGUAUGGUAAAAUGACGAAUAUUCCCUUAUGUUCCGUAUGACUGAUGUGCUUAGGAUUUACAUAUAUUGAUAUUGGAUUAGUUAAGUUUGAGUGACAGGUGGUGGUUAUCGUAGGCGAUUGAUUUUGGAAACGUUUCAACUUCAACCCGUAACAGGUGUGUACUAACCCUCGUAAUAGCUUAGAUUACUAUUUGCUGAGAAGCCAAAAUGCUAAAAUACUGGUAUUUCGGGAACUUGUAAUGUUGCGUUUGGGUAUAGAUGCGAUAAAUACUAUAAGAUCGGUGUUUGGAUCGAUGGAACAGGUAAAAACUCAAUUUUGUGCACGAUGGUAAGUUGGGCCUCAAUGGGCUAAAAUUGGGCCCAAUGGGCUUUCGGACCCAUUUGGGUAGAAUUGAUAGAAAAUGGAAUUUAGAAAAGUUGCACAUUAACACGGUUAGUAUUGUUGUAAAAUUUGGGUAAAGUAGGCUAAAUCAGCAUUCGUAGGGCCCAUUAGGGGUUUUGGGCCCAAAAGCCCGAAUUUGAUAAAGUGGGUUAAAGAUCAUUGUUUAAACACUCAGAAAUAUUGAUAAUUGUAAUGAACAUGGAAAACCCUGAUAUUUGGUAAAAUUACAAAAAUACCCUUAUAAUGUGAAAAAUGAUUGUUUUGCCCUUGUGGGCAAGUGACUGACUUGGACUGUGUGGUUGACGGAUUGAUUGUGAAUAUAUGUUGGUGAUAUGAAUGACUUGACUGUGAUUGUUUAUUCAAAUAUGGGCAUGACAUUCUGCACACAUGACAUGUUGCAUUGGGUUGGGUUUUUAUAUGGAUGGAGGAAGUGCAAAAGAGCUUAUGCCCCAGUUUAUUGAAAAGGGCUUUGCCCCAGUUAUUAAAAGAGGCUAGCCCUCCAGAUAUAUGAUAAAGCAGCUAUGCUGCCAGUGGUGUGUUGGUUGGGUGGGUUGAAUCAUUCUCCACAUGGUGUGUUGGUUGGUACGGGUGGAGAGUAGCGGAUGGUGGGUCAAGUAGUCUCCCCAAAUGGGCUUGCAUACAUUCAUUGGUAUUUUAUAUGAUAUUGAAAUGGGCUUGCAUACAUCCAUUGACAUUACAUGUGUUAUUGAAAUGGGCCUAUGGGCCAUACCGUUUACAAUAAAGGCUUCGGCCCAGUGAAAUAAUUUAUGAAAAGGCUUCGGCCCAGUGAUAUGAUUUAUGAAAAGGCUUCGGCCCAGUAUAUGUUGAGACUGAAUUAGGGCUUAGGCCCAUAUUGCUACUGUUUAAGGGCUAAGGCCCAAAUUGUACUGUUACUGAAUAGGGCUUUGGCCCAAAUUGUAUUGACACUGUGUUAUUCACUGUUUGUUUGUUGUUGGGGAUUACACACUGAGUUUUUGUAAACUCUCCCCGUUUCUAACUGUGCAGUAAUCCCUAAGCUUAGAUGGUUUGGAGCUGCGAGGGACUCAGAGAUGGCCACACUACUAUUUCUGUUUCUUUUAAUUGCAAUAAGUAACCGGUUUAUUUUUUUUAUAAGUUUUAUCUCAAUUAAUAUUAUUAUUUGGUUUUGGGUUGUAAUAAGGCCAUUUUAAUUAUUUUUCUGGGAUUAUUUUAUUUUAUACCUUAUAUUUUACUGAUAACAAUCCAAAAUGGGUUAGACUUAGGCCGCGUUUUCAAAAUGAUAAUUGUUUUCAAAAUAACGCAAUGAUACAAUUAAUCGAUUUAUCAAAAAUAUCUACUUAAAUGAAUUCUAACUCGUUUUUCUCAAAACCUAACCUCGCACCAAAGUGUGGCAAUGGUUGUGGGCAUGUCUAGGAUUGGAUCCAUUCGAAGAGCUUGGUACUUAAGCAACCUUCAUGGCUCACCUCUUCUAUUUUUGGAUACCUACCUGGUGCGCAGCUUCCAUUCACUUGGUUAAGCCUUAUCAAACGACGGUUUUUUUAAAACACUAAAACAAAGCUGGGUUUGGGGUGUUACAGAAACACUUGAAGUACUUGAGGGAUGCACUGAUAAGUUAGACUCAAUUAGAGAGCAGCUCAGGGACUUUGUGAUAGAAACUAUUAUUUCCAAUCAGGGUACGAUGAGAGCAACCCUCAAUACUGUUAUGGAUGAUCAAAUCAAGAAGCUAACUAAGAGAGAUGAUGCUCUCGAAGUGAUGGUCAUGGCUUUGAAGGAGGAAACUGAGGCCAUGAUGGCUAAUAAUAAGGAGCUCAAGGGUGAACUUGUUCUGUGAGGAGCUAUUGUGGGAAAAGGGAUGCUGGUUUCAUUUCCUAAGCAACGUAAGAUAGAUCUCCCUAAGUCAAAAAAGUUUGGGGGGCGAAGUCCACAAGAGAUGUGGACAAUUUUUUAUAAGGGACGGAAAAGUACUUCCGUCCAAUAGGCAUCGAGGAUGAUGCCACUAAGGUGUUUCUUGUAAAUAACUAAUGCAAUUGUGCAAGUGUACACGUCAUUCAAGUAAUAAAAUGAUAAGUGAGUAUCACCUCUAUAGGGAUUGAAAAUUGGAAAAAAAUUGAGUAAGUUAUUAUAAUCCUAUUAACUAUACUAAAUAAUAGGAAAUACUCUUAAAUUGAAUAGGAUGUUUGUAUAAUGAAUUAAUGAAAUCAAAUGGUAAAAACAAAGAAUUGAUAUGACAAAUAAAAUGUAGUGACAAAUUAUAGAGAAAAACAAGAGUAAUUCUGUUGUUAAAUGAAUAGGGCUAGAAUUAUUCAGGUGAAAUGAUCAUAUCAAAAUUAUGUCAUGGUAAAAUAUUGCCUAAUCAAAUGCUCAGAGAGUCAAUAUUGUAACCUACCUCUUCCGAUAGCUAGAUCUUAAGCUAAAAAUCUAAGUUAUGGUAUGUCUACAGGACUCUAGAUUAAUAACUGCAAUGAACGUUCUCCUCUGCACAACUCAUAACAUCUAUGUCUAGAGUGCUAUGAAUAUUCUGUCGAGUAUUCGCUUGCAUCAAAUGAUUCAAGAUCCAGUAUAUUUAACCUUUUCAAAAUUAAAAAUACAUCUAAGAACACAACACAUAAUCAACUAUGUCUAGAGCUUGCAUGCAUGUAUUUAAAAUAAGCAUAAAUCGAAUGAAACAAUGAUAUAGACAAUCUCAAAUCAUGAGUAUUAAAGAUGAUAAAACAUUCACCCAAAUAACUCCAACCCAGAAAUGAUUUAGUUCAUGGGUGGAAAUGUUAACACUAAAUUAAAAUCUUUCAUCAACAUUGAAACAAGUUUGAAUUACAGAAAUCAGGAAAACGAAGGCAGAAAUUGUACGAUUUCUUGCCACACUUCAGCUUCUCUUUUAUCUUCUGAUUGUACCUGAUGUCUCUUCCCUUUCUUCAUGUCUCUAUUCUGCUCCCUAUAGCUACUACCCUUUCUUUCUGUAGAAUUCUCCAAUAGAGUUCAUCUCUGCGCAAAGAAGAUUGCUGUCACCAGUCUCUUUCUCAUGCUGAUUCUCCUCCCUUUUUUUUUCUCUCUCCUUCUUUUAUUUGGUAGAUUCAUCCCACCUUAGCACACAUUUUUCAUUCCUAUUUUAAGGUUGGUUUUCUCUGGUACACACAUAGUUGGCUGAGAAUGACGUGGAUAAAGUGCUGAGUCAUCUUCCUAGAAUUGCCAUGGCAUUUAUGUUGGCAAUCAAUCUCACAUUUGCCACGGAAAUGUUUCACUUCCUUCAUUCUCUUCCUCUUUUUUCUCCUUUUCUUCAUCUUUUAUGCAAUUUCUGUAUACAACAACUAAUUCCCUUUCUCCCAACAGGAAAAGUAACAUAAAAUGACAUUCAAGGCACAAUCCAAGUGCUAUUAUGCAAUGUUCUAAAAAUAACCUAAAAAUGCAAAUAUAUCUACUUAAGUACAUUCAUUUAAAGUUUAAAGGCUUAAAAUAUAACUCUUUUCAAGAGUUAUUACACCCCCAAACCUGAAUUAUUACAUGUCCCUAAGUAGAAUAUAUGUAAGUAUGCAUGAAUGCAUGAAUUUUCCAUAACAUGACAAUUACCUCGUAUACUACUAAACUAUCUGAAGUAUAUUUGAUACCUCUAUUCUCAGCAGCCUUCUAUCUCAAAAAACAUGGUUCAAAUUUUAUAUGUUUGUUUAGCAUACAUAGUGUAGAAAAUGUUACCUAAAAAUAAAAUAUCCUAAAUAUUCAUGCAAAUUUGACUAUAGUAAGCACCCCUAAUGUACUUAGUUUAUCUUUCCACUAAAACUUAGUGUCUCUUCUCAUAAUUAUUCUGUCAUUACAUACUUUAAUUAUAUAAUUUUUUCUAGGGAAUUCAUUUUGUCACAUGAUUUCUUUACUUGACAAUCUCAAUGGAGCAUACACUAGAUUGCCAAAUAUUACAUCACGCCACAAUUUGAAUGUAAUUCACUCAUGAAGUGAAGGCUUUUGACUAAAAAGAUAGAUGGAGCAAACAACUACCCCCUUAGCUACUUAGCCUACUGCUAGUGGAGCGCCCCUAAAUUGUUUUCUCUCAUUUUCCUUUUCUUUGUUUUUUUACUCACUCUUAUUUGAUCUUGUUUUUCCGAUCAAUAAUACAAGGGAGCAAAUAGUGUAUUAGUGACCUACUAAAUAAUUUCAAACAUUGGAGUGCUUCAUAGCAUCUUUUUAAUUUUCUUAUUGAUUUACCCUCAACUUUGUCGUGGUAUUUAUUAUUACACAUUGCUAAUUUACUGACCUUAGGCUCAAGAAUUUCUAAGUGUAUUAAAAGAAACCUACUAUAGAAGAAUUGUAAUUAUAAUUAGGGCAUUCUAGUUUUAGGGAUCAAUUUUCAAACAACUAUCCUAAGCUAAACAUACCUAAUCAACUAUCACAAUUUUCUAAAUUUAUUGAAGAGUUAUCGUCCUCAUAAAAAAUCAUAGAUAACAAUAUACUUGUCAUAGUCUAGCAAUUAUUUGGCAUUUUUAUGUCAUUGAAAAAUGAAUGAAAAAAUGAAAAAUAUUAAAAACACAUAUCUCAUGCAGACAAUAUGCAUAACACAACACACCCCCAAACCUAAGGGAUGCAUUGUCCUCAAUGCAUGAACAAUUUAAAAUUCCAAAAUGCAAAAACAAAAACACAUAUAUAUACAAUGCGAUGACAACAAUUAUGAAUGCAUGAAAAACACAUGGUAUAUAAUGAAAAAUAUGCAGAUGAAAAUAAAGACGAAAGCUCGGGAAAAUUUUGGUGUUACUUUAAUUUGUGCGAGUUGUUUUUCGAGCAGUGCGCUUGUAAUGCUGCCUCCGUUUCAGCAUAUUAAUUGGCAGAUCUUCUUCAUCAUUAUCAUCUAAUUUUGUGAGAUCAUCAAUCAGUUGAUUAAUCUCACGAUAUUGCUUCGAUAUGGGUGCAAUUGAUUGAGGUGCAGUAGCAGGUUGUAACACCCCUUACCCGUAUCCGUCGCUGGAACAGGGUACGAGGUAUUACCGAAUCAUAGUACAUACCAUUAAAUAAAACCAAGAUAAAAAUAUGGCAUACAAUUAGAUCAUGAAUCAUUAUAACAUAUGCCUUUAAUAAUAUUAGCCAAUUUCAAAGGCUUCGUACAAAAUAAUCGGCCAUAUAUUAUACUUAAUAUUUUAAAACCUAGACAAUUAUGACACGUAACAAAAUAACUAAGUCUACUAUACAUGCCAUAAUUCAAAAUGUUUAGUUCAAAUACCCAAAAAUAUUGAUAGUGCAGGCAAAUCUUCAACGAUCCUUGACUCCUGUGCAAGCUGGACGACACUAUAAGAAAAAAGAGAGAAAAGAAGGUAAGCUUAUAGCUUAGUAAGCAAGUAUGUAAAUAAUGAAUAAAGAAUUUAAUAUGUUUACACAAUAACUCAAGCGUAUCUACUUUUAAUUUCACCAUUUACUCCACUUUGGUCAAGCUGUCUCUACUGCAUCAUACUCACUAAAUAAAUCAUAACUCGAGUUCAAAAAUUUGAAAUUCAGAUCCGUAAAAUUUUCCUGAAACUAGACUCAUAUUACUUCUUACUAAUUUUUUUCUAGAAUUUUUGGUCCAGCCAAUUAGUACAGUUUAUUAGUUGAAAUUUCCCCUGUUAUACAGCUCGACUGAUCUGACCUCUGUUCACAACAAAUUGAAUUUCUCCCAGUACACAAUUCAAAUAAGCAUUAAAUUUGUUUCAUUUAAAACUAGACUCAAUAAGGAAUCUAUACAUAUAAACUAUAUUUCUUAAUUAGUUUUUUACAAUUUUUAAUGAUUUUUCAAAGUUAGAACAGGGGAUCACAUAGUCAUUCUAAGCAAGUCACACAUAAAUAUAAAUAUCUCAAAAUAUAGAGUUCCUUUGCUUUCUCUGUUUCUUUUACAUGAAAAUAGACUCAUUAAUAUUUAAAUUAAUAUCUCAUUCAGCCUCUAAUUAAAUUCCUACUAUUUUUUGUGAUUUUUCAAAUUUACGUCACUGCAACUGCCCAAAAUAGUAUUAUUGCUAAUUCACUAUUUCACACUUUCUUUGUAUUUACCGCAUUUAGCCGACAUAUCACAAUUCACUUUCACCACAUUUCAUACAUCACAAGUGUAGGUUCAUGAUUACAAUGUCACUAUAAAAUAAACCCGUUGAACAAUUCGGAUCAAUCCUCGAUACUUGGUGGUUUCAGCACACAGCUCCGCCAUCAUAUUUCAUAUAAUUCGGCUCUCUUUUACACAUGGUGAACACUUAGUACCACCCAUGUGACCUAGCCAAUUUAUCUCGUAGCUCUCUUGUCUACAUUGUGUCCUUCACUUGGAAUCACACAUGUGACCUAGCUAAAUUUAUCCUCUCCCGUAGCUCUCUUGUCUACAUGGGAUACAUCCCGUAUCACACAUGUGACCUAGCUACUACAUAGUAUCUCGUAGCUCUCUUGUACACAUGAUGUGCACUCAGCACCAUACAUGUGACCUAGCUACAUUUCAUCUAUAUUAUUCAAUCUUUCCGAAAGUUCAACCGGGAUUUCUCUCACUAUUACUUAUUUCCAUUCUUCCAAUAGUGGAUUUAUGAUUCAAAAUCAACUAAAAUAUAUAAAAUAGGCUGAAAUACAAAAAUGUAAAUGAAGUUAAUGUAUUAUUUACAUACAAACUUACCUCACUGCAAAAUAUGAAAAUUUUGCAAUUUAGUCCAAAACCUUUUCCUUCCCCCGUUCGAGGUCGAUUCCACACCUUUCUUGAUCUAUAACAACACAUUUAGCUCAUUUAACACUCAUACUAUUUAUUUCAAUCCAAAAAUCACAUUAUGAAAAAUUACAUUUUUGCCCCCUAACUUUUACAAAAUUAUGAUUUUGCCCCUAGGCUCGAAAAUUUAAUUUCAGCCCUUAUUCUUAUGUUUUAUGACAUGAUGAACAUUUUUCUCUUCUAUAACAACAUCAAAUUCUCACUCUAACAUGUACUUAUGAGCAUUAGCUAUUUUUACCGAUUAUACCGUUUUGCUCGUUUUCGCUAAAAAUCGCUUAGAAAAGAUCGUUCUCCUAACCUCAAACAUUCAUAUUCUACCAUAAAACAUCAAAAUACAUGCAUAUCAUUCAUGGGUAAAUUUUUAAACAUAAACCCUAACUCAAAAUAAUGGUAGAAAUAGGUAAACCGAGCUACGAGGAUUUCAAAAAUGUAAAGAACAUUAAAAACGGGGUUUGAAUGCACUUACUAUUGAAUUUGAAAGCUUGGAAAAACCCUAGCUAUGGUGUCUAUGAGAGUUCUGGCCAACUUGAUGAAGAUGAUACCAAAUUUUGGCUUUGUUUUCCCAUUUUAUUAUUUUAUUUACCAAAUGACUAAAUUACCCUUCAUUAAAAACUAUGAUGUUUUAUCUUCCUUUAGGUAUUUUUGUCCAAACUAGUAUAAUGGGCUAAUUGCUAUACAAGGACCUCCACUUUAAAAGCCCAUUACUCACAAGUACUUAGUACCUUUGUGAACUAGAACACACAUUUUUCAACUUUUGCAAUUUAGUUCUAAAUAUUAAAUUGGACCUUCUAUCGAUAAAAUUUCUAAACAAAAUUUUCACACAGUCAUGAAAUCAUGCCAUAGACCUUAAAAUGAUAAUAAAACUAUUAUUUCUAUCUCGGAUUUGUGGUUUCAAAACCACUAUUCCAUUUUGGCCCUAAAUCGGGCUGUUACAACUCUCCCCCCCUUUAGGGAUUUUCGUCCUUGAAAAUCUUACUGGUAAAGAGGUUUGGGUACUGUUUUCUCAUGGCUUCCUUCGGUUCCCAUGUAGCUUCUUCUACUCCAUGUCUUUUCCAUAACACUUUCACUACAGCUAUGCUUUUCUUUCUCAACUGUUUCACUUCUCGAGCCAAUAUCUUAAUCGGUUCUUCAUCAUAGGUCAAGUGAGAUCGAAUCUCAAUUUCUGUUGGAGAAAUUAUAUGUGAAGGAUCAGAACGAUAACGUCGCAACAUUGAUACAUGAAACACAUUAUGAAUUCUUUCUAACUCUGCCGGUAAAGCCAACCGAUAUGCCACUGGUCCAACCCUUUCAAUAAUCUCAUACGGCCCAAUAAAACGCGGACUCAACUUGCCUUUUCUGCCAAAUCUCAGAAUCUUUUUCCAUGGUGACACCUUCAAGAACACUUUAUAACCCACCUGAAAUUCAAUCUCUUUUCUUUUUAAAUCUACAUAUGACUUUUGUUGAUCUGAAGCAGCUUUCAAGCAAUCCCGAAUUACUUUUACUUUAUCUUCUAUUUCUUUAACUAGAUCAACUCCGUGAAUCUGUUUCUCACUAAGUUCAGUCCAAUACAAAGGAAUCCGACACUUGCGACCAUACAAGGCUUCAUAUGGUGCCAUCUGUAUACUCGACUGAAAACUGUUAUUGUAGGCAAAUUCAACCAAAGGUAGAUAUUUCUCCCAACUGCCUUCAAAUUCCAAAACACAGCAUCUAAGCAUAUCUUCGAGUACUUGGAUUACUCUUUCUAACUGACCAUCUGUUUGUGGAUGAAACACGGUACUAAAGUUCAAUUUUGUGCCCAAAGCUUCUUGUAACUUUUUCCAGAAUCUCGAGGUAAACCUCGGAUCUCUAUCUGAUAUUAUAGACAUAGGUACCCCGUGCAACCUCACAAUUUCAACAAUAUAUAAUUCAGCUAAUUUAUCAAGUGAGUAAUCGGUACGUACCGGUAUAAAGUGAGCCGACUUUGUUAACCUAUCAACCACUACCCAGACAGCAUCCUUCUUUCUAGGAGUCAGAGGCAAACCAGUUACAAAAUCCAUGGUAAUCCUAUCCCAUUUCCACUCAGGCACCAUUACCGGUUGGAGUAAUCCUGAAGGCACUUAUGCUCAGCUUUUACUUGUUGACAGAUCAAACACUUAGUUUCAAAUUCAGAAAUGUCCCUUUUCAUGCCUGGCCACCAAUAUAAUUUCUUUAAAUCAUUAUACAUUUUUGUGCUACCAGGGUGAACUGACAAACAGCCACUAUCCGCCUCAUGUAAUAUUUUCUGAAUCAAUUCGUCAUUUUUCGGUACACAUAUCUUGUCUCGAAACAUCAAACAGUCAUCUGGUCCAACUCAAAAAUCUGAGUCGUAACCUGAUUCGCACUGAGUUCUCUUGGUUCACAACUCACUAUCAUUCUUUUGAGCAUCACAAAUCAGCUGGAGAAAUAACAGUUUAGCCCUCAUCUCUACUAAGAUUGACCCAUCAUCAGACAAUGCUAACCCCGUAUUCAUGGCUCUCAAAGUAAAAAGAGAUUUCCUGCUCAAGGCGUUAGCAACUACGUUUGCUUUUCCCGGAUGAUAAUCAAUCACUAGCUCAUAAUCCUUCAAUAAUUCAAGCCAUCUCCACUGUCGCAGAUUCAAAUCCUUUCGAUUCAUCAAAUACUUCAAACUUUUGUGAUCAAUAAAAAUUCGGCAUUUUUCACCAUACAAAUAACGUUGCCAGAUCUUCAAGGCAAAGACAAUAGCGACCAAUUCCAAAUCAUGUGUAGGAUAGUUCUUUUCAUGCGGCUUUAACUGUCUCGAGGCAUAAGCUAUCACUUUACCCUCUUGCAUCAGUACACAUCCAAGGCCUGUCAAUGAUGCAUCACUAUAAAUUACGAACUCCUUCACUGGCUCGAGCUGUACUAAAAUUGGUGCUUCAGUCAAUCGUGCUUUCAGCUUUUCAAAACUCUGUUGACAUUUAUCAGUCCAUUCAAACUUAACAUUCUUUUGCAGCAACUUAGUCAUAGAAGAGGCAAUCAUCGAAAAUCCCUCGAAAAAACGUCUAUAAUACCCGGCUAAGCCUAAAAAGCUUCUAACCUCGGAUACAUUCUUUGGCGGUUUCCAAUCAACGAUCGCAGAAAUUUUGCUCGGAUCCACCCGAAUACCAUUACCUGAGACUAUAUGCCCCAAGAAUCCGACUUCACGAAGCCAGAACUCACUUUUACUAAACUUAGCAAAUAGUUUCUUUUCUCUCAAGAUCUGUAAUAUGGUUCUCAUGUGUUCGGCAUGCUCAGACUCGUCCCAAGAAUAAAUUAGAAUGUCAUCUAUGAACAUUACUACAAACUUAUCCAAAUAUGGCCGAAAGAUUCAAUUCAUCAAGUCCAUAAAUAUAGCUGGAGCAUUUCUUAAGCCAAAAGGCAUCACAAGAAACUCAUAAUGUCCAUACCUUUUCCUAAAGGCAGUUUUCGGCACAUCCGACUCCUUAACUCUCAACUGGUAGUAACCGGACCUCAAAUCGAUCUUUGAAAACACUAUUGCCCCCUUUAACUGAUCGAAUAAAUCAUCAAUCCUCGGUAACGGGUACUUGUUCUUUAUAGUCACCUUAUUGAGCUGAUGGUAAUCAAUGCAAAGUCUCAUUGAGCCAUCCUUCUUCUUUACAAACAAUACAGGAGCACCCUAGGGAGAGAAACUCGGUCUAACGAAUCCUUUAUCUAUUAACUCUUGCAACUGAGCCUUCAAUUCUUUUAAUUCAAUCAGAGCCAUUCUAUAUGGAGUAAUCAAGAUCGGUACAGUCCCCAGCAACAAAUCAAUGGCAGACUCUAUCUCUCUGUCUGGAGGCAACCCUGGCAAUUCCUCUGGGAAUACAUCUGGAAAUUCACAGACUAUCGGCACUGAUUCAAGCUUCAAUUUAGACAUCUCAGUAUUCAUUACAUAGGCAAGAUAAGCUUAACACCCUUUCCUCAUGUAUUUCUGAGCAGACAUGCACGAAAUCACCAUAGGUAAUUUAUUUGAUUCAUCUGUUUCAACCCACAGAAUUUCACCAUUUUCACAUUUCAACUCUAGUGUUUUCUGUUUACAAUUUACCUUAGCAUCAUACAAUGUCAACCAGUCCAUUCCUAAGAUAAUGUCAAACUCAUCAAAUGGUAACAGCAUCAGGUUAGCCAGAAAACAGUGACCUUUAAUCAUUAAUGGGCAAUUCUUGCAAACCUUAUCAAUUAGCACAUAUUGGCCUAAGGGGUUCGACACUUUAAUCGUAAACUCAGUAUAUUCAAUAGGCAACUUCUUAUUAGAUAUUAAAUUCACACAAAUAUAGGAAUGAGUAGACCCGGGAUCAAUCAAUGAAAUAACAAUAGUAUCAUAGAGAGAAAAUUUACCAGUAAUGACAUCGGGAGAUGAUGCAUCCUCUCGGGCACGUAUGGCAUAAGCUCUAGCAGGCGCUCUAGCUUUUGAUCUUACCGCUGAAUCUUUCAUCACAGUUUUACUGCUAGCCCCACCUCCAGUAUUUCUCGGUAGUCUACCUCUACUAGCGGUAGUACUCUGUCUAGCACUCUGAAAUUUUUCUUCUUUAACUUUCUCCGGACAGUCUCUGAUAAAAUGUUCGCGAGAACCACACCUGAAACAAGCUCGCUAGUUUCCCCAACACUCACCAAAAUGUUUCCUGCCACAUUGCUGACAUUCGGGCUUUCUAGGCCGUACAUUACCCACACUUUCCAUUGAAGUUGCUUGAGCUUUAGACCCUGAAUAUGCCUUACCACGAUCUCUGUGUGAGUCCCCAGCUGAGACUGUCAUUCGAGGGUUUGUCUCUUUGGGCCUCUUUGAUUGAGAUUGAAAUGACUUGCUUAUCGGCCUCUUUCUGGCAUCGCGAGCCUCAAUAGCAGCUUUUCUUCUUUCUUUGUUCCAUUCUUCGGCUUUAAGAGCUCGAUCAACCAAUACUACAAAUUUUUCAGCUCCAAAAUUCCCACAAGCACUUUAAUGUCCUCAUUUAGCCCAUCCUCAAAUCUCUUGCACAUAAUAGCUUCGGUGGACACACAUUCCUAGGCAUACUUGCUGAGUCUUACAAAUUUGCGUUCAUACUCUGCCACAGACAUCUUGCCCUGCUUCAAUUCAAGGAACUCCUUCUGUUUUUUAUCAAUAAAUCGUUGACUUAUGUAUUUCUUUUUGAAUUCUUCCUGGAAGAAAUCCCAAGUAACCUUUUCUUUUGGCACCACUGCUACCAAAGUCUUCCACCAAUGGUAGGUCGAAUCUCUCAAAAGUGAUACAGCACACUUUAAGCACUCCUCGGGUGUACAUGAAAGCUCAUCAAAUACACAGAUAGAAUUUUCAAGCCAGAACUCCGCCUUCUCGGGAUCAUCAUCGAUCUUUGCUCUAAACCUUCAGCCCCUUGUUUUCGAAUCUUGUCAACCGGAAGCUUGUUCAUUCUUACCAAAUCUAUGCCUUGAGCAGCUAUAGGAACCGUUUGAGGUAUGGGAGGGGGUGGAGGAGGUUGAGCAUUUGGGUUUGCUCAAAUAAACUCAGUAUACCAAUUGUUCAUCAUUUAGAGAAAGGCAUCCCGAACCUCAUCUCCCUGUCUCAAUGUCUCAGGUCUACUUUCUACAGGCGCGGUCCCUUGUGCGGGAGCUGGCGUAUUACUAGCAGCAUCAUCGCCGCAGUUCCGUCAGGAUCCAUUACUAUAUUAAAACAAAACACAGUUUAGAAUAAUCAGGAGUCACCACACUAUCACAGUAUAUUUAUGGCAUGCAUAGCUUGACUUUUACACACACUUUAUUAGUUCGAGAACCGACUAAACUAUAGCUCUGAUACCACUAAAUGUAACACCCCUUACUCGUAUCCGUUACUGGAACAGGGUACAAGGUAUUACCGAAUCAUAGUACAUACCAUUAAAUAAAACCAAGACAAAAAUAUGGCAUACAAUUAGAUCAUGAAUCAUUAUAACAUAUGCCUUUAAUAAUAUUAGCCAAUUUCAAAGGCUUCGUACAAAAUAAUCGGUCAAAUACUAUACUUAAUAUUUUAAAACCUAGACAAUUAUGACACGUAACAAAAUAACUAAGUCUACUAUACAUGCCAUAAUUCAAAAUGUUUAGUUCAAUUACCCAAAAAUAUUGAUAGUGCAGGCAGAUCUUCAACGAUCCUUGACUCCUGUGCAAGCUGGACGACACUAUAAGACAAAAGAGAGAAAAGAAGGUAAGCUUAUAGCUUAGUAAGCAAGUAUGUAAAUAAUGAAUAAAGAAUUUAAUAUGUUUACACAAUAACUCAAGUGUAUCUACUUUUAAUUUCACCAUUUACUCCACUUUGGUCAAGCUAUCUUACUGUGUCACACUCACUAAAUAAAUCAUAACUCGAGUUACAAAACUAGAAAUUCAAAUCCGUAAAAGUUUCCUGAAACUAGACUCAUUUUACUUCUUACUAAUUGUUUUCUAGAAUUUUUGGUCCGGCAAAUUAGUACAGUUUAUUAGUUAAAAUUUCCCCUGUUAUACAGCUCAACUGAUCUGACCUCUUUUCACUACGAAUUGAAUUUCUCCCAGUACACAAUUCAAAUAGCCAUGAAAUUUGUUUCAUUUAAAACUAAGUGCAAUAAAGAAUCUAGAAAUAUAAACUAUAUUUCUUAAUUAGUUUUGUAAAAUUUUUAAUCAUUUUUCAGAGUUGGAACAGGGGACCACAUAGUCAUUCUGAGCAAGUCACACUUAAAUAUAAAUAUCUCAAAAUAUAGAGUUCCUUUACUUUCUCUGUUUCUUUUACAUGAAAAUAGACUCAUUAAGCUUUAAAUUCAUAUCUCAUUCAGCCUUUAAUUAAAUUCCUACUAUUUUUGGUGAGUUUUCAAAUUCACAUCACUACAACUGCCCAAAAUAGUAUUAUUGCUAAUUCACUCUUUUGUAUUUACCUCAUUUAGCCUACAUAUCACAAUUCACUUUCACCACAUUUCAUACAUCACAAGUGUAGGUUCAUGAUUACAAUGUCACUAUAAAAUUAUCCCGUUGAACAAUUCGGAUCAAUCCUCGAUACUUGGUGGUUUCAGCACACAGCUCCGCCAUCAUAUUUCAUAUAAUUCGGCUCUCUUUUACACAUGGUGAACACUUAGUACCACCCAUGUGACCUAGCCAAUUUAUCUCGUAGCUCUCUUGUCUACAUGGUGUCCUUCACUUGGAAUCACACAUGCGACCUAGCUAAAUUUAUCCUCUCCCGUAGCUCUCUUGUCUACAUGGGAUACAUCCCGUAUCACACAUGUGACCUAGCUACUACAUAGUAUCUCGUAGCUCUCUUGUACACAUGAUGUGCACUCAGCACCAUACAUGUGACCUAGCUACAUUUCAUCUAUAUUAUUCAAUCUUUCCGAAAGUUCAACCGGGAUUUCUCUCACUAUUACUUAUUUCCAUUCUUCCAAUAGUGGAUUUAUGAUUCAAAAUCAACUAAAAUAUAUAAAAUAGGCUGAAAUACAAAAAAGUAAAUGAAGUUAAUGUAUUAUUUACAUACAAACUUAUCUCACUGCAAAAUAUGAAAAUUUUGCAAUUUAGUCCAAAACCUUUUCCUUCCCCCGUUCGAGGUCGAUUCCACGCCUUUCUUGAUCUAUAACAACACAUUUAGCUCAUUUAACACUCAUACUAUUUAUUUCAAUCCAAAAAUCACAUUAUGAAAAAUUACAUUUUUGCCCCCUAACUUUUACAAAAUUAUGAUUUUGCCCCUAGGCUCGAAAAUUUAAUUUCAGCCCUUAUUCUUAUGUUUUAUGACAUGCUGAACAUUUUUCUCUUCUAUAACAACAUAAAAUUCUCACUCUAACAUGUACUUAUGAGCAUUAGCUAUUUUUACCGAUUAUACUGUUUUGCUUGUUUUCGCUAAAAAUCGCUUAGAAAAGAUCGUUCUCCUAACCUCAAACAUUCAUAUUCUACCAUCAAACAUCAAAAUACAUGCAUAUCAUUCAUGGGUAAAUUUUUAAACAUAAACCCUAACUCAAAAUAAUGGUAGAAAUAGGUAAACCGAGCUACGAGGAUUUCAAAAAUGUAAAGAACAUUAAAAACAGGGCUUGAAUGCGCUUACUAUUGAGCUUGAAAGCUUGGAAAAACCCUAGCUAUGGUGUCUAUGAGAGUUUCGGCCAACUUGAUGAAGAUGAUACUAAAUUUUGGCUUUGUUUUCCCAUUUUAUUAUUUUAUUUACCAAAUGACUAAAUUACCCUUCAUUAAAAACUAUGAUGUUUUAUCUUCCUUUAGGUAUUUUUGUCCAAACUAGUAUAAUGGUCUAAUUACUAUACAAGGACCUCCACUUUAAAAACCCAUUACUCACAAGUACUUAGUACCUUUGUGAACUAGAACACACAUUUUUCAACUUUUGCAAUUUAGUCCUAAAUAUUAAAUUGGACCUUCUAUCGAUAAAAUUUCUAAACAAAAUUUUCACACAGUCAUGAAAUCAUGCCAUAGACCUUAAAAUGAUAAUAAAACUAUUAUUUCUAUCUCAGAUUUUUGGUUUCAAAACCACUAUUCCAUUUUGGUUCUAAAUCGGGCUGUUACACAGGUUCAGUUGGUGCAAGAAUAUGGUUCACUUCUUCUCUUUCCUGGUCAGAUUCAAUGUUCAUCGAUUCUAUCUUCUCUUCAUCACCCUCUGGUCUUUUUGUUCCUUCUCCUCAGUAGCAAUGUAUGUGGUAGGUCCACGCACAUCAGCUUCAGCUGUAACCUUGUCCCAUCAUUUUCAUCUGAUAGCAGCUCCUUUUCAUUGGGUGCAAAUCCUCCUUUUCUUUAUCAGAAUUGUGAUCUCAUUAAUAAGGGUAUAAAUUAUAAAUGAAAAUAACGUUAAACAAUUAAAUAUAAAAAUAAUAAUAUUUAAAUUAAAGUAAAGCAAUUAAAGAAAAGAAAUAUAGAAAAGAUAUUUUUUACGCUUUUUCUAAUUGCGCAGCAAUUUGGAGUUGCUAAGUCUCAAAGAGAUUGAGGUGCUUCUACAACUGACCGAGGGAGUUGAGCAUUUACUACUCAAAUGAAUAGUUGGAGAUAGAAGAUUUUGCUAAGCCAAACGUCUUGCAAACUUUUCUUCCACUACCGUUUCUAACAAACCAAUGGCUUGGCAAUCUUCACUCUUAUCAACAUAUUUUACGGCAUCGAAUAUGUUGAAUGUAACCUACUAAUCAUUCACCCUCAUCAUCAGUGUGCCUUUCUGUACAUCAAUUAGCUAAUGAACGAGUAGAGGUGGUCAUCCUUCAAGGUCCUGGUAUUGUUUUUUUGUGGCAUUUUUGUUGCCAACAUGAUCUGAUUCUACCAUAACAUUUUUCUACUGAUUAUUUUUAGAUGUUGUAUGCUUUUAACUUUUCAUGGUUGAGUCUUGAGUCGUCUACUUCUAUCAUGGCAUCUUUAACAGCAUCAUUCAACUGAGUUCCACUUCUGAGAGUGAUUUCUUUGCAAUGCUCUUUUCCUUAUGAUCUCAAAUUCUCAAUAUCACUUAGUAAAGCUCCUUGUUGUUUGGAACUUAAUGCAAUGGAAAUUUGUCCCACUUGAUUCUCCAAAGGUCUUAAGAAAGCUAUUUGGAUCUGAAUAAUCUCAUCAUUCUUAGCCAUAUGCUCCUUUAAUAAAGCUUCCAUAGUUGAUGUUGAAGAUGACAAACUUUGUUACACAUUUUGCCAUGGCAUUGGUUAAAAAUAUCUAGGUGGUACACCAGCCAUAUUUGGUCAAUUAACAUUGCUAGCAUUUCCCAUUCCUUAAUUACUCCAACUAAAAUUUGGAUGUUAUUUCUACCCUGGAUUGUAUGUGUUGCAGUAGGGAUUGUUGUUGCCACUAUAAUAGCCCGUUUUUGGUUAAAUCGAAACAGUGGUUUUGGAACCAAAAAUCUAAAGUGAAAAUAUUUAUUUUAUUAAUUUUUUAAUGUUUACAGCACGAUUGAAUGAUUGUGUGAAUGUUUCAUUAAGAAAUUUCAUCGUUUGGUUAGUCAAUUUGGUAAAAUGGUCUAAAUAGCGUAAAGUGCAAAAGUGGAGUUCUAUUAGCUAAAAGUAUCUAAUAGCUAUAGAACCUAAAAGUAAAGGUCCUUAUGUUGUAGUUAGACCAUUAAUGACAUAAGUGGACAUAAAUGGACAUAUAUUAAGGUGUUUUAAAUGGUUUAUAAUAAGGUUAAUUAAGUAAUUUAAAAAUUUAAGUUAAAAUAAGUAGUUAAAAUAAGUAAAAUAAAACAAAGUAUCAUCUUUGUUUCUUCUUGUUUCAACUGAAACUAGGGCUAAAGAAACACCAUUGUUGUGUUCUUCAUUUGGCCAAGCUUGAAUAGCUAAUUAAGGUACGAUUUUUUUCCUAUUUUUAAUUAUUUCUAUGUUUCUGAGAUCGUUGCAACUAAGUCUAGCUAGCCCAGGGACUAAUUUGCAAAACUGUUAAAGAUUUUGAAUGUUGCUAUUGAUGAAUAAGCAUGUAUUUUGAAGAUUUUUGAUAGAUUAUGAAUGCCUGUUGAUAGAUAUACAAGUUUUGUUAAGUGAUUUUUAGUGAAAAUGUAAAAUAGGGAUUAAAUUGGGAAAUGUGUAAAGUUCAUCGUUAAAAUAUGAAAUAAAUGAAAAACAUGGGCUGCUAGGGGCAUUAUGGUAAUUCGAUUCGGCCAGCAUGGGUUUAUUUUGAAUUUAUUUAAUUUGUGAUUUUAUGAAAUAAGGACUAAAAUAUGAAAAAUGUGAAAUAUUGGGGCAAGACAAAAUUGAAUAGAGAGAUGAUUAAAUGUAAAAUCCCAAAAUUAGGCCUAGUCAGAGUAGUGGUUUCAGAACCACAAAUUCGCCAUUAAAAUAUUUAUUUUAUGCUUAUUAUGAGGCCUAAGGUAUGAAAAUAAGCAUAUGUUAAAGUUUCAUGAAGAAAUUCUAAAUAUUGGGUGUCCAAUUGGAAAUUAGGGACCAAAUUGAAUAAAUUAAAAACUUAGGUUCUUGAAGAAAUUUGUAUGAAAUUUCUUUGAAUUAUUAAUUAGAAUGUUUUAAAGAGUAAUUUUCCCAAUUUCUAAGUUUUUGGACAAAAAUGGGCAUGCAUGGAAAACUUUGAAAGGUUAUUAAGGAAUGGCAUUUUGGUCAUUUGGUAAUAAACAAAAUAAAAAGGGGAAAUGAAAGCAAAAAUCAGUCAUUUUUCUUCUCCAUGCUGGCGCAAAUUUAAGGGUCUCCAUAGCUAGGGUUUUCAACAUUUCCAAGCUCAAUAACCCCGAGAAACCAAUUUCAGAAGUCGACCGUGGAAAAUGAAAGGUUUCAGAAUAACCAAAAUAUGAACCCGAAGUAAUUACCGGUAAGUUUGAGUAACUCGAAGUAAACUCUUAAUACAAACAAAAUUUAUAUAUUUGAAUGUGUGACAAUUUAGAUAUUCAUUGCAUGAUAAUCCAUGAAAUGUGGUAGUAUAGGUUGAAAGAGCAUUGAAAUUUCCCAAUUGAAAUAAAAGGACAUCCGAUGGAUUUCUCAAAAUGAAUUGACGGUAAAAAGGAUCUAGCCCGGAUGGGUGUUCCUCUAGUGAUCGACCCUCUCGGAGAAUAAGCGUGCUGAAAUGGAUUUAGCCCGGACGGGUAAUCCGAUUAAGGUCUAAAUUUAGCCUGGACUGGCAAUUCAGAUACGAGUUCAUUAGAGUACAUGUCAUUGUAAGGGAUUUAGCUUGAACUGGUAAUCCCGACAUUACUCUAUGAGUUUACAUUUCGAAGGAUUUAGCCUGAACUUGUAAUUCUGCCGUAAGAGUGAGGUUCACGGGAGUGCGUAUUUAAAAUGAUCACUCACACAAUUUGACGGUAAAUGAGAUAUCCAUCGAGAUUCCGAGAAGUUAAAUGGGAUUAAAAUGAGGAAUGAAAAUAGAAAUGCUUGAAACGAUGAGCUCAUCCAAGAUAAAUGUUUAAUUGUAUGGACAUGAAACUAAAAUGAUGAGUGAGUGUAUGUGAUAGGAAAUUAUACUAUGCAUGUUGGCAUGACUAACUAAUAUGGUUGUAUGCAAAACACCCGAUAAGUUUACCUUCUUGUUAUCCAAACUUACUAAGCAUGUAAAUGCUUACCCCCUAUCAUUUCCCUUGUAUUACAGAGCUCGAGGACUCAUGAAGAUUGGAAGAUGGUUGGAGCAUUGUCAACACUAUCAACUUAUUUUGCCUUGGUAUAUAGAAACUUUUAUUUUGUUAUAAUGGCGUGUAUAGGAUUCUUGGUCAUUUUUUUAUAUGUGUCAUUUGGCUAGCCAAUGUAAGGGCUUAAAUGGUAGACUUAUUCAUUUUGUAAAUGGCCAUGGGAUAUGGCUCAUUUUCAGGUAGGUUGUAAACCCACUAAUUAUGUAUGCUAUGCUUAAAUGUUUCUUGUGAGGGUUAAAUGUGGUAUAUCAUGAAUGGACAAGUGAAAUGUGACCAAAUCACUUGGAGAUGGUUAAGUCAUAAUUGGCAAUGAGUUAUAAAAUGAGCCAAGUAUAAAAUAUAAUUAUUGGAGUGGUAACCCUUAAUACGAAAAGGAUAACCUAGUAUGUGCUAAACCAAUGAGAUGAGGUUAACAUGCAAUAGACUAUGCCAAGGUGGGUUAUGGACAUAUUUAGGCCAUGUUACAUACCGUUGAAGUUUAUAAGUGUGUAUAGAUGCCUGAGGGUGACCAAAGGCUUGGAAUAUAGUUUACAAAAGGGUCCACACGGGUAUACACAUGGGCAUGUGUCUAGGCCGUGUGUGACACACGGUCAGCCCCAUAAGCGUGUUGUAAGGCCGUGUGUCCCCUGCACCUAAAAUUUUAGGUCAGUAUGUAUGGUAGUAAACACACGGGUAGAGACACGGUCGUGUGUCUGAACCAUGUGUAGGACACAGCCUAGCACAUGGGCAUGUGCCUUGGCCGUAUGCCCCUAAAUGGAUGAUGACAUCAUAAACAGAAUGUCCAAGUUUUUGGACACGGGGGAUAACACGGGUGUGUCUAGGCCGUGUAAGGUACAUAGGCCAGGGACACGGGAGUGUCCUUGGUAGUUUCAAAACCCCUGUAGGUUCGAAAUGAAAAAUAAAUUCCAAUAAUUCAACACGGGUAAGGGAUACGGGUGUGUUCCCAAGCACACUGGCGUGUGCAUUGCUUCCACAUGGGCGUGAGAGGCUUAACCCUAGGAAUUUUUAUAAAAUUUUCUUAAGUUCUCAAUUUUGUCCUGGAUCGCUUUUAAUAUAUGAUUUGAACCUUAUAGGUUCAUAAUGGGAACAAUAUGAUUUUGUUUGAUCGGUUUUAAAUUGAAAUAAAAUUUUAUAGCCCGUAUUUUUCGAAAGUGUCCUGUUUGUGUUUGGUAAUGCCUCGUACCUUGUCCCGGUCUCGGGUAUGGAUAAGGGGUGUUACAUUUAGUGGUAUCAGAGCUAUAGUUUAGUCAAUUCUUGGACUAAUGUAGCAUGUAUUGAGUCUAGCUAUAAUGCCAUUAUGCAAGUUAUGAUAGUGUGGCAUCUCCUAACCCUUUUAAAUUGUAUUUGAAUAUAGUAAAUGCCUUCCGAUCAAGCUCAGGAUAAAUUUGAGAGAGCCGAGAGCCAUGCUCCAGCUUCCGUACAACAAGCUACUUCUAGUAGUAGAAGGCCUAUGUUUGAGGGUCGGGAAGAGGCAAAGGCUGCCUUUUUCAAAAUGAUGGAUGAGCGGUUUGGGGAUUACCUGAGAAAUCGCUCUAAUAUACCACAACCUCCUUCACACCUAGCUCGACCGGAAGAGGAAGUGCCAUAAGGUAUGGCACCAGUGAGAAUUGGUAAGGCUCCAAUAGAUAAACUUAGAAAAUAUAAAGUCGAAGAGUUUAGGGCCACGAUUGAUGACGAUCCUGAACAUGCUGAAUUUUGGCUUGAGAAUACCAUGCUGGUUUUCAACAAACUAUUGUGUACUCCUGAGGAGAGUUUGAAAUGCACAGUGUCACUAUUGAAGGACAUUGCAUGCCACUGGUGGAAGACUAUAUCCUCAGUGGCACCGAGAGAGAGUAUCACGUGGGAAUUUUUCCAAGCUAAGUUUAAAAAGAAGUACAUCAGUCAGAGGUUCUUAGAUCAGAAGUGAUGGAGUUCCUAGAACUCAAACAAGGAAAUAGAACCAUGUCAGAAUACGAAAGAGAAUUUGCAAUGUUAAGUCAGUAUGCAAAUGAAUGGGUUCAAACAGAAGCACUUCGAGAAAGGUCUGAAUGAAGAAAUUAAGUUGUUAGUCGGGAUCCUCGAGAUACAAAAAUUUGCUAUAUGAGCUGAUCGGGCCAAGAAGGCCAAAGAGCUUAAUAAUGAAAGAAAACAAGCGAAGAGAGAAGCUCAAGUUUCAAAUAGAAGAUCCAGCGGUAAGACGCACUCAUUCCCCAUGAAGAAAUCGAGAGGUCAAUAAGAACGCUCCACUACAUCGGUGAGAUACUCGGGUAGGACAAGGAGUUCUAAGCGUCACAACCCGAAGUCUUCUUCCCUAUGGUGACUAGUGUGAGAAGUGUAGAUGAUCAAAAGCCAAGGUGUAAAAGUUGCAACAAGUUUCAUUUCGAAGAACACCGAAUGAGGAGCGGAGCAUGCUAUAGAUGUGGUUCUCUUGACCACUUCCUUAGAGAUCGCUUAGAGCGAGCUGAUAAAGGGGUUGAAUUAGCUGUGAAGCCGAAUGCUCCUGUUUCCCGAGGUAGACCUCUACGACAUCCUGGAAGUGCAAGUGGUAGCCAAAUUGUGGCCAAGGAUACUACUACAAAAUCAGAGGCUCGAGCCCCAGCGAGAACUUACGCAAUAUGCACUAGAGAGGAAGCCUUAGCUCCUAAUGUCAUUACGGGUAUAUUUUCUAUCUAUGAUGCUCAUGUUAUUGCCUUGAUUGACCCGGGAUUGACCCAUUCAUACAUUUGCAUGAAAUUGGUGUCUAGCAUGAAUAUGUCUGUAGAACCAAUGGAAUUUGUGAUUAAGGUGUCGAACCUUCUGGGCAAGUCUAUUUUAGUUGAUAAAGUUUGUAAGAACUGUCCUUUGACGAUUCAAGGUCAUUGUUUUUCGGUUAACCUUAUGCUUUUGCCUUUCGAUGAGUUUGAUGUAAUACUAGGCAUGGAUUGGUUGAACAUUCAUGAUGUGAUAGUAAAUUAUGGUAGCAAGUAUAUUGUAUUGAAAUGUUCAGAUGGCGAAGUUCUCCGGGUUGACCCAAGUAAGUUGAAUACACCACUAGUUGUGAUUACCUCAUUGAGGGCUCAAAAGUAUAUGAGAAAAGGGUAUGAAGCUUACCUUGGAUUUGUACUGUAUACUAAAGAAUCAAAAUUGAAGAUUGAGUCGGUACCAAUAGUGCGUAAAUAUCCGAAUGUUUUUCCAGAAGAGUUGCUUGGUUUGCCUCUUGUUAGAGAAGUAGAGUUUGGUAUUGAGCUAGUGCCAAGAAGAACACCUAUUUCUAUUACCCCAUAUAGGAUGGCACCAACUGAGUUGAAAGAGUUAAAAGCACAGUUGCAAGAACUGAUGGAUAAGGGUUUCGCAAAACCAAGCUUUUGGCUUUGGGGUGCUCCCGUAUUAUUUGUAAAAAAGAAAGAUGGUUCGAUAAGAUUAUGUAUAGAUUACCUCCAACUCAACAAGGUAACUAUUAAUAAUAAGUACCCAUUGCCAAGAAUUGACAACCUGUUCAAUCAGUUGAGGGGAGCCACUAUGUUUUCUGAAAUAGAUCUGAGAUCCGGCUACUAUCAGCUGCUAGUUAAAGAGUCGGAUGUGCCUAAGACCGCUUUCAGAAUGAGGUAUGGUCAUUAUGAAUUUCUUGUGAUGCCUUUUGGGUUGAAUAAUGGACCGAUUAUGUUUAUGGACUUGACAAAUAGGAUAUUUCAGCCAUACUUAGACAAAUUUGUUGUUGUGUUUAUUGAUGAUAUCCUGAUUUAUUCCAAGGAUAAGACCGAACAUGCCGAGCAUUUGAGGACUGUCUUAUAGAAUGUGCGAGAUAAGAACUAUAUGAUAAGUUUAGAAAAAGUGGAUUUUGGCUCCGAGAGGUAGGAUUCUUGAGUCACAUUAUUUUAGGUGAAGGCAUCUGAGUUGAUCCAAGUAAGAUAUCUGCUAUUGUCGAGUGGAAGCCACUGAAGAAUGUAACCGAGGUUAGAAGCUUUUGGCCUUAGCCAACUACUAUCGAUGCCUUGUAAAGGAAUUCUCUAUGAUUGCAACUCCUUUGACGAGGUUGCUGCAAAAAGACGUUAAGUUUGUAUGGUCAGAGAAGUGUCAGCAGAGUUUCGAGAAAUUAAAUACGUCGCUGAUUGAAGCUCCAGUUUUAGUGCAACCUGAACUGGGAAAAGAAUUCAUGGUCUACAGUGAUGCAUCCUUGAAUGGGCUGGAUUGCGUGCUUAUGCAAGAGGGCAAAGUAGUAGCCUAUGCUUCGAGGCAACUGAAGUGUAACACCCCAAACCCGGCCCAGACGUUAUGGCCAAAUCUGACGUGUCACAUGGACUUACGACUUAGUAUGCAUUCAUUGGUUUAAGUGAUUGGGGUGGUCUUUAUAAAAAUAGCGGUUGAAUGAAAAGCCGGUUUAUCAGUCUUUAGGCUAUCCAUUUGUUUGCUUGUUGAGUCUUGGAAACGUUCAUUAAUUUUGAAAACCCGCGCAGCCUAAUACUAGCAGUUUCGACAUAGUAUAAAUAAAAUCAAAAAAUAAAACCAUAGCGGAAAAAUAAAUUUAAAUAGCGACCUUAUUAAAACUUAAAACCCAAAAUUAAAUUAGAAUAUAAAAAUAAUAAAAAUAAACUAACUUAGAAAAACCAACGAUGAUGUGGCCACUCCGAAUACCUCACAGCUCCAAGCCCACUAUGGUUGGGGAUUUCCUGUAGAGAUGAAAAUAAAGGGUGAUUUCGAUAAACUCAGUGUGUAACAUAACCCAACCAUAGCCCAAAACAGAUCAAACCUCAGAGUCAGACUUAUCUGGGCCUUGGCCCAGUACAAAAAUCAGAAUCAAACCCAUAGGCCCAUAGCAGAUACAGAACAAAUAUAUCAUGAAUGCAGAAAUCCCAACCCAGAGCCAUCCAUAACACCCCCGUACCAGUCUUACACCAUGUGGGGAGACUACUCGACCCACUCAACCGCUACACACCACAAAAAUUGUAGCGAAGCUGCCAGAUAUUGUGACGAAGUCACCAGAUACAGAUAUUGUGGCUAGGCCACCAGAACAGAUAUAUAUGUGGCGAAGCCACCAGAUUGCAGCAAGGCUGCCAGAUAUUGUGACGAAGUCACUAGAACAGAUAUAUGUGUCGAGGCCACCAAAUUGCAGCGAGGAUGCCAGAACGCUUCCUCCAUCAAUAUAAACCCAUGUCCCAUGCAACAGAAAUAAUAUAUCAUGGCAUACGUAUACAGAAACAGAACAUUAUGCUUUUUAGAAAAAAAAUAAUCCUAGGGGUAAAAUCGUAAUUUUGCAUGCAUAAGGGUAUUUCUGUAAUUAUAACCUAUUGCUAAGGUUUCAUGCUUAUUCUAACGUUUAUCAAGUAAUUAGAAGAACUUACCUCGUCUUUUUACCAAAGUGGGCCCGUUGGCCCAUUGGCCCGUUUUUGGCCCAUUAAGCCCAAAAAUACCGUUGUACACCAAAAUGCACACUCUGCACUCUAAUCAUCCAAAUGCACCAUAUUCAUUAACAACUGUCUCACGAGCGCUCGCACGCUCGCGAGUUCACAAAAUACCAACGUUUCGGUAUUUCAGCUUUUACCGAUUCAGUAUAAGGGAGGGUGUCGUUUACACACCUGGUUGAUGACGAUAUCUCCCACGCGAUAAUCCUACAAUCGAUUACUAACACAUUAGACAUACAAAUUAACGAUAACUAACAUAAAUCCAUGUCAACUAAACCAAUCAUCACACAAGUUAGUCAUUUACGCACGAGGGGCAAAAUAGUCAUUUUACCCUCCAGGGGUAAAUCAGUAGUCCUACCCUAUAAGGGUAUUUUAGUAAUUCUACAACUUAUCCACUUGGGCCUACGGACUCAUUGGGACCACAUGGCCCAUUUCAGCCCAUCGCGGCCCGAAAUAGUCGUCCUACUGCUAGAGUAAUGAGAAAUACACACCUGUUACGAGACUGCAGUUAAUCCGCGAUCCAAACACUCUUAGCUGACGCCCAACCCAAACGAGCACGUCACAAAGCGAAAGGGAUCAGCCAAGAAGGGUAUGCCUACUCUUCUCAUGGUUUGCUCUAUUUAAACCCAGCUCUCCAUCUACUCUUAUGUUAGCUUCCCGAGGUGGGAUCCCUCCAUCACCAGAGUUUAAAACCAACACCAACUCUUGCCGUCCCAACAUAGCAAAAUAAUCAACCUUUGCGUGCCAAGGGAUUCGAACCAAAGUCCUUUUACAUGCCAACUCACGCCACCACCACUAGGCCAUCAACUUAUUUGUGUCAUAAACCCAACACAUUAAACUAUAAAACGCACCUACUUGCUUCCAGAUUUAUUGAAAAGAAAAACCAAAAUAUAUUGCAAGAGUCAAGACUUGAACCUUGGACCCCUUGCUUCUUCUAUGGCGUCACUUCCUUGUCCCCUAAGUGGCGCCACCUUGCCACUACACCACACUCUUUUUUUGUGUCAUCUUUUACCCCUUUACUCUUAAAAGCUCAAAUGCCAAUUGCAUCACUUGUUCAUAAAAUUAAAAUUCCGAAGACUACCACAGAUUUAACUUAAGUUUGGGCCUUCCAAAGGCCUACUAACCUACUAAAAUAUAUAUUUUAACUAAGCAGAACACACACAAAUUUUAAAAAUCAUAGAAACACAGAAAACCCGAAAAUUGGGGCGUUACAACUCUACCCUCCUUAAAGAAAUUUCGUCCUCAAAAUUUUACCUAAAUCAAAGAGAUGAGGAUAUUGUUGACGCAUCGCCACUUCUGGCUCCCAAGUAGCUUCCUCUUUGCCAUGAUUACGCCACAGCACCUUUACUAGCAGAACUAAUUUCCUCUUCAAAAUCUGAACAUCUCGAUCCAAAAAUCUGCACAGGCUCUUCCUCAAAACUCAAGUCUGUUUGGACCUCGAUCUCUGCAACCGGCACAACAUGAGUAGGGUCAGAAUGAUACCAUCUUAACAUGGAGAUGUGAAAGACAUCAUGAAUCCUAUCCAAUUCUGGAGGUAGCUCCAACUGAUAAGCCACUAGACCCACUCGCUUAAGAAUCCAAUAAGGCCCAAUGAACCGCGGACUUAACUUGCCUUUCCUCCCAAACCUUAAUAUUUCCUUUUAAGGUGAAACCUUCAAGAAGACCAUAUCACCCUCAGAGUACUCAAUUUCCUUGCGCUUCAAAUCUGCAUGUGACUUCUGUCUAUCAGAUGCUUCCUUCAACCUGUCUCUAAUCAACUUGACCUUAUCCUCAGUAUCUGCCACCAACUUAGGUCCAAGAACCUGUCGUUCACCCAACUCGGUCCAACAACUAGGUGUACGACAUCUUCGUCCAUACAGUGCCUCAUAAGGAGCCAUUUGAAUACUUGUCUGAUAACUGUUGUUGUAUGCAAACUCUGCCAACGGUAAGUAAUCCUCCCAACUGCCUCGAAAGUCGAUAACGCAUCCCCUCAACAUGUCUUCCAGAAUCUGAAUAACCCUUUCCGAUUGACCAUCAGUCUGAGGAUAAAAGGUUGUACUAAAUUGCAACCGCAUACCCAACGCCUCAUGCAACUUUUGCCAAAAUCGAGAUGUGAAUCUAGGAUCUCGAUCAGAAAUAAUUGACACUGGCACUCCGUGAAGUCGUACUAUUUCUGCCACAUACAAUUUGGCUAACUUCUGAAGUGAAUAAUCAGUGCGGACAGGUAUGAAAUGAGAAGAUUUGGUCAACCUAUCCAUAAUUACCCAAAUCGAGUCCUUCUUCGACGGUGUCAAGGGUAACCCACUCACAAAAUCCAUGGUUACCCUCUCCCACUUCCAAAGUGGUACUUUCACUGGCUGCAAAAGUCCGAAAGGUAAUUGAUGUUCAGCUUUCACUUGCUGACAAGUCAGACAUUUUCCCACAACUUCCGUUACCUCUCGCUUCAAUCCUGGCCACCAAUACAACUCCUUUAAGUCGCGAUACAUUUUACUCCCUCCAGGAUGCAUAGCACACAGACCUCCAUGAGCUUCUUUCAGAAUUGCUUGCCUCAAGUCAGAGUCCUUCAGAAUACAAACUCUACCUCGGUAACACAGAACUCCCUUACUGUUCAGUCUGAACUCAGAAGUAUCCCCAUUCUUAACCUGCCGGAAUCGAGAAACCAGGGACUCAUCCUUUGACUAUUUUUCCUUAAUCUCAUCCACCCAGGUCGGCCUAACUUGUAGUUCUGCUAACAGACUACCAUCGUCAUACAGACUCAAAUGAGCAAACAUGGCUCUCAGAUCAGAUACAGUUCUACGACUUAGGGCAUCAGCCACCACAUUAGCUUUGCUUGGGUGAUACUCAAUCAUGCAGUCAUAAUCCUUAAGCCACUCUAUCCAUCUCCACUGCCUAAGGUUCAGCUCCUUCUGAGUCAGCAAGUACUUAAAAGUCUUAUGAUCUGUGUAUAUAAUACACCUUUCUCCGUACAGGUAAUGUCUCCAAAUCUUAAGCGUAAAAAUUACCGCUGCCAACUCCAGAUCAUGAGUAGGAUAGUUAACUUCAUGUGGUUUAAGCUGUCGCAAUGCAUAAGCAACCACUUUAUCCUCUUGCAUCAGCACACAGCCCAACCCUACAUGUGAUACAUCACUGCAUAUGGUAAAAUCUUUUCCAGACUCCGGCUAAAUUAGUAUAGGUGCUCGGUCAGAACUUUCUUCAGCUUCUCAAAAGAUUCCUGUUGUUUCUCAGUCCAAACAAACGGUACUCCCUUCCUUAAAGCUUUGUCAAAGGCACUGCCAUCACAGAAAAUCCUUCCACAAACCUCCUAUAGUACCCAGCUAAACCCAGAAAACUUCGAAUUUUCGACAUUGAACUCAGUGGCUUCCAUUCCAGAAUCGCUUCAAUCUUUUGAGGGCCCACCUUGAUCCCUUCAACAGAGACAACAUGCCCCAAGAAAGUUACCUCUCUCAACCAGAACUCACGCUACUGAUUUUUGCAUAAAACUCCUUCUCCCUCAGCACUUGCAGCACAAUACGAAGAUGCUCAUCAUGCUUCUCCUCAAUUUCAGAAUAAACCAGAAUAUCGUCGAUGAAGACGACCACAAAUCGAUCCAAGUAUGGCUGGAACACUUGAUUCAUCAGAUCCAUAAAUGCCGCAGGUGCAUUCGUUAACCCAAAUGGCAUAACCAAGAACUCAUAGUGACCAUACUGAGUUCUGAAUGCUGUCUUGUGAAUAUCCACCUCCUUAACCCUCAACUGAUGAUACCCAGAUCGAAGGUCAAUCUUGGAAAAUACUGAAGCUCCUCUAUGUUGGUUGAAUAAAUCAUCGAUUCUCGGCAGUGGGUACUUGUUCUUAAUCGUUAGUUUGUUCAACUACCGAUAAUCGAUGCACAUCCGCAUUGACCCAUCUUUCUUCUUUACGAACAACACUGGUGCCUCCCACGGAGACACACUUAGUCUAAUGAAGCCUCUAUCCAAUAACUCUUGAAUUUGGGCUUUCAGCUCCACCAACUCCUUCGGUGCCAUCCUAUAAGGUGCAAUGGACACUGGUUCCAUUCCAGGCAACAAGUCAAUUCCAAACUCAACCUCUCGGUUCGGGGGCAAACCUGGAAGCUCCUCUGGAAAAACAUCUUGAAAAUCCUUGAUGGUUCUAACUUUAUCCACUGUCAGAUCCUCAGUUUUUGAUUGGCUUACAAAUGCCAAAUAAGCCUCACAUCCCUUUCGAAUCCACUUCUUGGCUUUCAAUGCCGACACUACAUUACACAGAUAAUCCCUACGCUCGCCUAUCACCAAAACCUCCUCAUCCUUUGUGGUCUUUAACAUCAUUCGCUUAGCAGCACAAUCCAGAGUAGCCCUAUGCUUAACCAGCCAAUCCAUUCCCAAAAUGAGAUAGAAUUCUCUGAAAGGUAGCUCUAUCAGAUCUCCAGAGAAAACUUUUCCUUGAGUUUCUAUAGGUACAUUUUUAUAGAGUUUAUCUACCCUAACCGAGUGACCCAAAAAACUUAGUACAGAUACCCCACUCACGGUCUCCUCAGAGCGCACACCCAACGACCCAGAUAUAGCACAUGCAACAUAUGAAUGGGUAGAUCCAACAUCUAUCAACGUACCAGUUAUGACGUCAGGUGCAUCACCCUCCUCUCGGCGAUGAGCUGCAUACACCAACACCAGUUGACGAGAGUCAGCAAAUCUAGCACCUCUGCCAGGCGCUCCUCCUCCUUGACCGUUUCCAUUACCACCUCUGCCUUGCCCACGUCCUCUCGGAAAUUGUGGUCCACCCCUCACUGGUUGAGCGACCCUCUACUCUAAAACUUGAACCUGAUCUGGCUCCUGGGGACAAUCUUUAACCUUAUGCUCCAUAGAUAUGCCUCGAAAACAAGCACCAAAACUUUUCCGACACUCGCCCAUAUGCAUCUUCCCACAAUUCCUACAACCCAGUGGUCUAACAGCAUUUAUCGGUACUGCUCGAACUGGCUCCAUUACCCUUGCUCUAUUAACAUUCCUGUUCAUACCACCUGAAAGUCCCGAAUCUCUCCUAAAACGGUUCCGAUCUUUCUCACGAUUCUGUCUUUCUGUAUGCUUCACUUCCUUAGCUAUCUUAGCUUUCUCCACUAAAGCAACAAAGUUACGCUCCCUCUACGGAGCAAUCAGCGCCUUAAGUUCAUCUCUCAGACCAUCCUCGAAGCGUACGAUACGCUCAUACUCUGUAGCGACAAUCCCAGAAGCAUACCAGCUCAGUCUCAGAAACUCAAACUCAUACUCAGCCACUGACUUACUCGCUUGGACCAGGUUCAAAAAUUCUUUCUGGUGAGUUUCCACGUAACUAGCCCCAACAUACUUUCCUUUGAAGGCUGUCUUAAACUGUUUCCAAGUCACACUGUCAGCAGGAGUUCCAUCUCUCAUCGUGAGCCACCACUGAUAAGCCUCAUCCCUGAGUAACGAUAUGGCUCCCUUCAGCUUCUGCACCAUAAAGUAGUCUAGAUCAUCCAUAAUCCGCUCUGUGGCUUCUAACCAAUACUUAGCCACAUUUGGAGCUACACGAGAUACGCCCCUAAAUAUAUCUACUCCAUUGACCCAGAGCCGCUCAGAAAUAGACCCCCAAAUUUCAUUUCCCGUACUUGCCCCAGUAACCCUUUCCAAAACUCGGAGCAUUGCCUGGGACAGAGCAUCGUCCCUGGCACCUCGAUCAUGAGACUUUACCUCCGUUGCCGGUGGUACCGGUGCAUCUGUUGCCAGCACAUGUCUUGGAGACGAAGAUUUAGCCUGAGCAUUUCCUCGGCUACGUCCACGGCCUCUUCCAUGAGUAGCUCGUGUACUCAUUUCGUAUUAUCUGAUUAAGAAUUUUAUGAAUUAGUUAAAUAUUUCAGUGUUUAUUACAAAUGUCUUAUGAAUAACAGUAAUUCAGAGUUUGAGUUUGUUUCCUUUUGCGGUAGCCUAGCUACAGUCUCAGUCUACUUAUCAGAGUUUCUAUAGUUCUAGUGUUACCCUAACUAAAGAACCAUGAUAAGGUUUUGUACAAGCAUAUAACAGAUAUUUCAGAAACAAUCAAAAAGGCUUAGAAAACUUACAGACUUGGGUUAGAGAUUUGGUGUGCCACCUUCUAAAAAAACCUAAUUUUAGAAAAUCGAUUUUAAUCUUUAAAAUCAUCUAUUUGUAAAGAGAAAAUAUUGGAAACAUUCUCGAAAACAAUUUAUAAUCAAGUUUCAUAAAAAAAAUGAUUGUUGAAAAAGUUUAUUCAGUGUUUCUUUACAAACUCCCGUUUUUAGACCCGUUCUACAGCCGAGUUGUUUCAACUUGGCUCUGAUACCACUAAAUAUAACACCCCAAACCCGGCCCAAACGUUAUGGCCAGAUCUGACGUGUCACAUGUACUUAUGACUUAGUAUGCAUUCGUUGCUUUAAGUGAUUAGGGUGGUCUUUAUAAAAACAGCGGUCGAAUGAAAAGCCGAUUUAUCAAUCUUUAGGCUAUCCAUUUGUUGUACUGUUGAGUCUUGGAAACGUUCAUUAAUUUUGAAAUCCCGUGUAGCCUAAUAAUAGCAGUUUCGACAUAGUAUAAAUAUAAUUAGAAAAUAAAACCAUAGCGGAAAAGGAAAUUUAAAUAGUGGCAUUAUUACAACUUAAAACCCAAAAUUAAAUUAGAAUAUAAAAAUAAUAAAAAUAAACUAACUUAGGAAAAACCAACUUUGUAGAUGAUGUGGCCACUCCGAAUCCCUCACAGCUCCAAGCCUACUAUGGUUGGGGAUUUCCUGCAGAGAUGAAACUAAAGGGUGAGUUCGAUAAACUCAGUGUGUAACAUAACCCAACCAUAGCCCAAAACAGAUCAAACCUCAGAGUUAGACUUAUCUAGGCCUUGGCCCAGUACAAAAAUUAGAAUGAAACCCAUAGGCCCAUAGCAGAUACAUAACAAAUAUACCAUGAAUGCAUAAAUCCCAACCCAGAGCCAUCCAUAACACCCCGUACCAGCCUUACACUAUGUGGGGAGACUACUCGACCCACCCAACCACUACACACCACAGAAAUUGCAGCGAAGCUGCGAAAUAUUGUGACGAAGUCACCAGAUACAGAUAUUAUGGCUAGGCCACCAGAACAGAUAUAUAUAUAUGGCGAAGCCACCAGAUUGCAGCGAGGCUGCCAGAUAUUGUGACGAAGUCACCAGAACAGAUAUAUGUGGCGAGGCCACCAGAUUGCAGGGAGGCUGCCAGAGCGCUUCCUCCAUCAAUAUAAACCCAUGUCCCAUGUAACAGAAAUAAUAUGUCAUGGCAUACGCAUACAGAAACAGAACAUCAUGCUUUUCAGAAAAAAAAAUUACCCUAGGGGUAAAAUCAUAAUUUCGCAUGGAUAAUGGUAUUUCAGUAAUUAUUACCUAUUGCUAAGGUUUCAUGCUUAUUCUAACGUUUAUCAAGUAAUUAAAAGUACUUACCUCAUCUUUUUACCUAAGUGGGCCUGUUGGCCCAUUGGCCUAUUUUCGGCCCAUUAAGCCCAAAAAUACCAUUAUGCAUGAAAAUGCACACUCUGCACUCUAAUCAUCCAAAUGCACCAUAUUCAUUAACAACUGUCUCACGAGCGCUCGCACGCUCGCGAGUUCACAAAAUACCAAUGUUUCGGUAUUUCAACUUUUACCGAUUCAGUAUAAGGGAGGGUGUCGUUUACACACCUGGUUGAUGACGAUAUCUCCCACGCGAUAAUCCUACAAUCAAUCACUAACACAUUAGACUUACGAAUUAAUGAUAACUAACAUAAACCCACGUCAACUAACCCAAUCAUCACACAAGUUAGUCAUUUACGCACGAAGGGCAAUACAGUCAUUUUACCCUCCAGGGGUAAAUCAGUAGUCCUACCCUACAGUGGUAUUUUAGUAAUUCUACAACCUAUCCACUUGGGCCUACGGACCUAUUGGGACCACAUGGCCCAUUUCAGCCCAUCGCGGCCCGAAAUAGCCGUCUACUGCUAGAGUAAUGAGAAAUAAACACUUGUUAGGAGACUGCAGUUAAUCUGCGCUCCAAACACUCUUAGCUGACGCCCAACCCAAACGAGCACGUCACAAAGCGAAAGGGAUCAGCCAAGAAGGGUAUGCCUACUCUCCUCAUGGUUUGCUCUAUUUAAAGCCAGCUCUCCAUCUACUCUUAUGUUAGUUUCCUGAUGUGGGAUCCCUCCAUCACCAGAGUUUAAAACCAACACCAACUCUUGCCGUCCCAACAUAGCAAAAUAAUCAACCUUUGCGUGCCAAGGGAUUAAAACCAAAGUCCUCUCACAUGCCAACUCACGCCACCACCACUAGGCCAUCAACUCAUUUGUGCCAUAAACCCAACACAUUAAACUUUAAAGCGCACUUACUUGCUUCUAGAUUUAUUGAAAAGAAAAACCAAAAUAUAUUGCAAGAGCCAAGACUUGAACCUUGGACCCCUUGCUUCUUCUAUGGCGUCACUUCCUUGUCCCCUAAGUGGCGCCACCUUGCCACUACACCACACUCCUUUUUUGUGUCAUCUUUUACCCCUUUACUCUUAAAAGCCCAAAUGCCAAUUGCAUCACCUGUUCAUAAAAUUAAAAUUCUGAAGACUACCACGGAUUUAAAUUAUGUUUGGGCCUUCCAAAGGCCCACUAACCUACUAAAAUAUAUAUUUUAACCAACCGGAACACACACAAACUUUAAAAAUCAUAGAAACACAGAAAACCUAAAAAUUGGGGCGUUACAACUCUAAAGAAAUUUCAUCCUCGAAAUUUUACCUAAAUCAAAGAGAUGAGGAUAUUGUUGACGCAUUGCCACUUCUGGCUCCCAAGUAGCUUCCUCUCUGCCAUGAUUAUGCCACAGUACCUUUACUAGCGGAACUGAUUUCCUUCUCAAAAUCCUAACAUCUCGAUCCAAAAAUUAGCACAGGCUCUUCCUCAAAACUCAAGUCUGUUUGGACCUUGAUCUCUGCAACCGGCACAACAUGAGUAGGGUCAGAACGAUACCGCCUUAACAUAGAGACGUGAAAGACAUCAUGAAUCCUAUCCAAUUCUAAAGGUAGCUCCAACUAAUAAGCCAUUGGACCCACUCGCUUAAGAAUCCGAUAAGGCCCAAUAAACCGCAGAUUUAACUUGCCUUUCCUCCCAAACCUUAAUAUUUCCUUUCAAGGUGAAACCUUCAAGAAGACCAUAUCACCCUCAAACUACUCAAUUUCCUUGCGCUUCAAAUCUGCAUAUGACUUCUGUCUAUCAGAUGCUUCCUUUAACCGGUCUCUAAUCAACUUGACCUUAUCCCCAGUAUCUACCACCAACUCAGGUCCAAGAACCUAUCGUUCACCCAACUCAGUCCAACAACUAGGUGUACGACAUCUUCGUCCAUACAGUGCCUCAUAAGGAGCCAUUCGAAUACUUGCCUGAUAACUGUUGUUGUACGGAAACUCUGCCAACGGUAAGUAAUCCUCCCAACUGCCUCGAAAGUCGAUAAUGCAUCCCCUCAACAUGUCUUCCAGAAUCUAAAUAACCCUUUCCGAUUGACCAUCAGUCUGAGGAUAAAAGGUUGUACUAAAGUGCAACCGCGUACCCAACGCCUCAUGCAACUUUUUCCAAAAUCGAGAUGUGAAUCUAGGAUCUCGAUCAGAAAUAAUUGACACUGGCACUCCGUGAAGUCGCACUAUUUCCGCCACAUACAAUUUGGCUAACUUCUAAAGUGAAUAAUCAGUGCGGACAGGUAUGAAAUGAGUAGAUUUGGUCAACCUAUCCAUAAUUACCCAAAUCGAGUCCUUCUUCGACGGUGUCAAGGGUAACCCACUCAGAAAAUCCAUGGUUACCCUCUCCCACUUCCAAAGUGGUACUUUCACUGGCUGCAAAAGUCCGAAAGGUAAUUGAUGUUCAGCUUUCACUUGCUGACAAGUCAGACAUUUUCCCACAACUUCCGUUACCUCUCGCUUCAAUCCAGGCCACCAAUACAACUCCUUUAAGUCGCGAUACAUUUUACUCCCUCCAGGAUGCAUAGCACACAAACCUCCAUGAGCUUCUUUCAGAAUUGCUUGCCUCAAGUCAGAGUCCUUCGGAAUACAAACUCUACCUCGGUAACACAGAACUCCCUUACUAUUCAAUCCGAACUCAGAAGUAUCCCCAUUCUUAACCUGCCAGAAUCGAGAAACUAGGGACUCAUCCUUCGACUAUUUUUCCUUAAUCUCAUCCACCCAGGUCGGCCUAACUUGUAGUUCUGCUAACAGACUACCGUCAUCAUACAGACUCAAAUGAGCAAACAUGGCUCUCAGAUCAGAUACAGUUCUACGACUUAGGGCAUCAGCCACCAUAUUAGCUUUACCUGGGUGAUACUCAAUCAUGCAGUCAUAAUCCUUAAGCCACUCUAUCCAUUUCCACUGCCUAAGGUUCAGCUCCUUCUGAGUCAGCAAGUACUUAAAAGUCUUAUGAUCUGUGUAUAUAAUACACCUUUCUCCGUACAGGUAAUGUCUCCAAAUCUUAAGCGUAAAAAUUACCGCUGCCAACUCCAGAUCAUGAGUAGGAUAGUUAACUUCAUGUGGUUUAACCUGCCGCAAUGCAUAAGCAACCACUUUACCCUCUUGCAUCAGCACACAGCCCAACCCUACAUGUGAUACAUCAUUGUAUAUGGUAAAAUCUUUUCCAGACUCCGGCUGAAUUAGUAUAGGUGCCUCGGUCAGAACUUUCUUCAGCUUCUCAAAAGAUUCCUGUUGUUUCUCAGUCCAAACAAACGGUACUCCCUUUCUUAAAGCUUUGUCAAAGGCGCUGCCAUCACAGAAAAUCCUUCCACAAACCUCCUAUAGUACCCAGCUAAACCUAGAAAACUUUGAAUUUCUGACACUGACCUCGGUAGCUUCCAUUCCAGAAUCACUUUAAUGUUUCGAGGGUCCACCUUGAUCCUUUCAGCAGAGACAACAUGCCCUAAGAAAGUUACCUCUCUCAACCAGAACUCACACUUACUGUAUUUCGCAAAAAGCUCCUUCUCCCUCAGCACUUACAGCACAAUACGAAUAUGCUCAUCAUGCUUCUCCUCAGUUUCAGAAUAAACUAGAAUAUCGUUGAUAAAGACGACUACGAAUCGAUCUCAGUAUGGCUGGAACACUCAAUUCAUCAGAUCAAUAAAUGCUGCAGGUGCAUUCGUCAACCCAAAUGGCAUAACCAAGAAUUCAUAGUGACCAUACCGAGUUCUGAAUGCCGUCUUGUGAAUAUCCACCUCCUUAGUCCUCAACUGAUGAUACCCAGAUCGAAGUUCAAUCUUGGAAAAUACUGAAGCUCCUCUAAAUUGGUCGAAUAAAUUAUCGAUUCUUGGUAGUGGGUACUUGUUCUUAAUCGUCAGUUUGUUCGACUGCCGAUAAUCUGUGCACAUCUGCAUUCACCUAUCUUUCUUCUUUACGAACAACACUGGUGCUCCCCACGGAGACACACUUGGUCUAAUGAAGCCUCUAUCCAAUAACUCUUGAAUUUGGGCUUUCAGCUCCACCAACUCCUUCGGUGCCAUCCUAUAAGGUGCAAUGGACACUGGUGCCAUUCCAGGCAACAAAUCGAUUCCAAACUCAACCUCUCGAUUCGGGGACAAACCUGGAUGCUUCUCUGGAAAAACAUCUUGAAAAUCCUUGACGGUUCUAACUUUAUCCACUGUUAAAUCCUCAGUUUCUGAUUGGCUUACAAAUGCCAAAUAAGCCUUACAUUCCUUUCGAAUCCACUUCUUGGCUUUUAAUGCCGACACCACAUUAGACAGAUAAUCCCUACGCUCGCCUAUCACCAAAACUCCUCAUCCUUUGUGGUCUUUAACAUAAUUGGCUUAGCAGCACAAUCCAGAGUAGCCCUAUGCUUAACAAGCCAAUCCAUUCCCAAAAUGAGAUCGAAUUCUCCGAAAGGUAGCUCCAUCAGUUCUCUAGAGAAAAAUUUUCCUUCAGUUUCUAUAGGCACAUCUCUAUACAAUUUAUCUACCCUAACCGAGUGACCCAAAGGACUUAGUACUGAUACCCCACUCACGGUCUCCUCAGAGCGCACACCCAGCGACCCAGAUAUAGCACAAGCAACAUAUGAAUGGGUAGAUCCAACAUCUAUCAACGCAGUGUAUGGCAUACUGGAAAUCAGAAAUGUACCAUUAUGACUUCAGGUGCAUCACCCUCCUCUUGGCGACGAGCUGCAUACACCAAUGCCGGCUGACGAGCCUCAGCAAAUCCAGCACCCCUGCCAGGUGCUCCUCUUCCUCGACCGUUUCCAUUAACACAUCUGCCUUGCCCACGUCCUCUCGGAAAUUGUGGUCCACCCCUCACUGGUUGAGCGACCCUCUACUCUAAAACUUAAACCUGAUCUGGCUCCUGGGGACAAUCUUUAACCUUAUGCUCCAUAGAUAUGCCUCGAAAACAAGCACCAAAACUUUUCCGACACUCGCCCAUAUGCAUCUUCCCACAAUUCCUACAACCCAGCGGUCUAACAGCAUUUAUCGGUACUGCUCAAACUGGCUCCAUUACCCUUGCUCUAUUAACAUUCCUGUUCAUACCACCUGAAAGUCCUGAAUCUCUCCUAAAACGGUUCCGAUCUUUCUCACGAUUUUGUCUUUCUGUAUGCUUCACUUCCUCAACUAUCUUAGCUUUCUCCACUAAAGCAGCGAAGUUACGCUCCCUCUACGGAACAAUCAGCACCCUAAGUUCAUCUCUCAGACCAUCUUCGAAGCAUAUGCUACACUCAUACUCUGUAGCGACAAUCCCAGAAGCAUACCGGCUCAGUCUCAGAAACUCAGACUCAUACUCAGCCACUGACUUACUCCCUUGGACCAGGUUCAGAAAUUCUUUCCGGUGAGCGUCCACGUAACUAGCCCCAACAUACUUUCCUUUGAAGGCUAUCUCAAACUGCUCACCCACUCACCGUGAGCCACCACUGAUAAGCCUCAUCCCUGAGUAACGAUAUGACUCCCUUCAGCUUCUGCUCCACAGAGUUGUCUAGAUCAUCCAUAAUCUGCUCUAUUGCUUCUAACUAAUACUCAGCCACAUUCGGAGCUACACCAGAUACGCCCCUAAAUAUCUCUACUCCAUUGGCCCAGAGUCGCUUAGAAAUAGACCCCCGAAUUUUGUUUCCCAUACUUGCCCCAACAACCCUUUCCAAAACUCAAAGCAUUGCCUGGGACAGAGCAUUGUCCCUGGCACCUUGAUCAUGAGACUCUACCUCCAUUGCUGGUGGUACCGGUGCAUCUGCUGUCCUGAAGACGAAGAUUCAGCCUGAGCAUUACCUCGGCCACGUCCACGGCCUCUUACAUGAGCUGUUCGUGUACUCAUUUCGUAUUAUCUUAUUAAGAAUUUUAUGAAUCAGUUUAAUAUUUCAGUGUUUAUUAUAGAUGUCUUAUGAAUAACAGUAAUUCAGAGUUUGAGUUUGUUUCCUUUUACGGUAGCCUAGCUACAGUCUCAGUCUACUUAUCAGAGUUUCUAUAGUUCCAGUGUUACCCUAACUAAAGUACCAUGAUAAGGUUUUGUAAAAGCAUAUAACAGAUAUUUCAGAAACAAUCAGAAAGGCUCAGAAAACUUACAGACUUGGGUCGAAGAUUCGGUGUGCCACCUUUUAAAAAAA
Molecule: long non-coding RNA, 47549 nt
Filed under: Gossypium barbadense (sea-island cotton)
Lineage: Eukaryota; Viridiplantae; Streptophyta; Magnoliopsida; Malvales; Malvaceae
Description: long non-coding RNA (GBAR_LNC001538)
Source: RNAcentral